Molecule: long non-coding RNA, 67517 nt
Filed under: Hordeum vulgare
Lineage: Eukaryota; Viridiplantae; Streptophyta; Magnoliopsida; Poales; Poaceae
Description: long non-coding RNA (HVUL_LNC006446)
Source: RNAcentral
GAGGGAUAUAUAAUUGUGAUGUUUUAGAAAGAAAACUUGAGUUCGCUCGAACCAAAGAGUGUGUUAGAACCUUGUUUAUUUUGUAUCUUUAGCAAAGUGUUAAACCAGGACCUGAUGCAAGCACAUGACCUGCUGUAGUUUCAGUCAUCUACAGUGCUGCAACCUAAUAAGCAGCAGGGUAGUAGAGGCAUGGUAAGUGGCGGCAUGUGGUAUAGCUUGACAUGGGUUCAUACGGUGCACGUCCUAGUACUGCCUGCUGUAUCGACAGCAUGGCUGUAAAAGGGGUGAGGUGCAUUUGUGCAACAACCUAACCCAACUGAAAGAAUAGAAAAAAACGGAAGGCUCCCAAGAAGGAAUGCUUGGGAUUUUAUCUCCGACGAGUUUUUUUCAAUCUCUUUGUGUAUCCAUUGGAGUUCACCGUGCAAACAAUCUAGUUGGACAUUACGUACUACUGCAUGUUGAUAGAAAUAGAAAUCCAAAAGGGGUGCUUCGUUUUUAGUCAAAGUUUAACCAUGCACGUAAAAGCUGAACCAAAAUGUGAUGUGUAGUCAUUCAUAUGUAUGUACAAUUAAUUGCAAGUGCUGAUCUAGGGGUAGAGAGGGGAAAGAGGGGUAGCUCACCACGUAUGCCCGCAAGGCUAGGAGGGGAGGGGGAAGUAGCCAUCAGUUAUCCCCUCCAUGCGCUAGAGGAGAGAGGAGGCAGGUGCGAAGAGGGAUGGUGGCAUGCUCCUCCACCUCCUCUGGUAAAGAGGGCUCGUCGGGGAAGGACGCGUUGAGGAGGAGGUUUCUUGCUGCUAGUGUCGAGGAUGCUCUCAAAGUAGAUCUUGAGCGAGGCACUGCAGUGCUUCCUCAACUCUCUCCACAGGGUCCCUGUCUUCCUCCAGCGUCACCACCCCUUGCUCCGGCUCUGGCGAGUUAGGAGCAACAGCAAUUAACAACAGUAUAACUUUCUGUUCACCUUGUACAUACAACUUUGACAUGAAAAAAAAAAUAUGAAGUAGGAAAUUUCCUUGCUAUUUCCAGUGAAAAGAGAUCUAAGAGGCCCAAAAACAGGGGUGUUGUACUUCGAAAUUGCGACAUCUGAAUAACUGACUUUAGCAGGUUGUCAUUUUCAGGGGAAAUCUGGCAAAAUUUUAGUCGACAUCUUAACAACUGAAUUGAGCAAACAUUUAUGUUUCUGUGCCUUUUUCAGUGCGAGGAGCAGAGCUUUUUUCUUCCGGCGAGAGUUCCAGCUGAACUUGACUGAAUCAAAAGAAGCACAGUGGAACGCUUAUAUUAUAAAAUGUCAAUUAGCGUUUGUCGUGUCUGAUUGCCUUCUUGCUUGUGGAGCUGAACAACGACCGGUGACAAUUUCAAAGGAACGGGCAGAGACAGAGGAUAGGAGCAGAGAAGAGAGAAGGUACCCUGCAGCGGGUACUCCGGGUAGAACAUGGGCCGCUCCGGGAUCACCGUGUGCUGCAGCAUCUGCACGUCCACCAGAAUCGCGCUGAGCGCAACAGAAGCAAGGGAACCGCCGGAUAAAAAGGGAAUUUGGGAGGGAGGGAGAGGAGGGACGGACCUGCGUCAUGUUGUUCUGUUUCUUGAGGAGGGAGGUGAGGAGUGGGCCGAAGGAGGAGGCACCGGCGAGCGCGAGCGCGGCUAGCAGGCACGACGUGAUGCCGGUUGCACCUCCCGACGACGACAUCGGCGUCCUGGCAUGCGCUACUCGCCGCGGCCACCCCUCUCAACGAGAUGGGUUUCUUGGCGACAGGAUGCAGCAGCGCGGGCACCUCCUGCGCCACCGCGUCCGGCUUGGACGCCGCCGCCCCGCCGCAUCGAGCGAGCGUCCAUGCCUCGGUGACCAUGGGCACCAUACUAAUUAGCUUCGUGCGGAGGAGCCGUCAAAUAGGGGCGAGCCAUCCAUGGCUAGAUGCGCCCAGAUCGACGACCGCGUACAUACCUUUUCCUCCACUUCGGGGUGGAGCUCGACUGCUUCAUGCAUCCAAAUCGAUGGGACGGUGAGACCUUCCUGUUGGAAUUAUGCCCUAGAGGCAAUAAUAAAUAUAGUUAUUAUUAUAAUUCCUGUAUCAAGAUAAUCGUUUAUUAUCCAUGCUAUAAUUGUAUUGAAUGAAGACUCAUUUACAUCUGUGGAUAAAUAGACAAAACACUGUCCCUAGCAAGCCUCUAGUUGGCUAGCCAGUUGAUCAAAGAUAGUCAGUGUCUUCUGACUAUGAACAAGGUGUUGUUGCUUGAUAACUGGAUCACGUCAUUAGGAGAAUCACGUGAUGGACUAGACCCAAACUAAUAGACGUAGCAUGUUGAUCGUGUCAUUUUGUUGCUACUGUUUUCUGCGUGUCAAGUAUUUGUUCCUAUGACCAUGAGAUCAUAUAACUCACUAACACCGGAGGAAUACUUUGUGUGUAUCAAACGUCGCAACGUAACUGGGUGACUAUAAAGAUGCUCUACAGGUAUCUCCGAAGGUGUUCGUUGAGUUAGUAUGGAUCAAGACUGGGAUUUGUCACUCCGUGUGACGGAGAGGUAUCUCGGGGCCCACUCGGUAAUACAACAUCACACACAAGCCUUGCAAGCAAUGUAACUUAGUGUAAGUUGUAGGAUCUUGUAUUACGGAACGAGUAAAGAGACUUGCCGGUAAACGAGAUUGAAAUAGGUAUGCGGAUACUGACGAUCGAAUCUCGGGCAAGUAACAUACCGAAGGACAAAGGGAAUGACAUACGGGAUUAUAUGAAUCCUUGGCACUGAGGUUCAAACGAUAAGAUCUUCGUAGAAUAUGUAGGAUCCAAUAUGGGCAUCCAGGUCCCGCUAUUGGAUAUUGACCGAGGAGUCUCUCGGGUCAUGUCUACAUAGUUCUCGAACCCGCAGGGUCUGCACACUUAAGGUUCGACGUUGUUUUAUGCGUAUUUGAGUUAUAUGGUUGGUUACCGAAUGUUGUUCGGAGUCCCAGAUGAGAUCACAGAAGUCACGAGGGUUUCCGGAAUGGUCCGGAACGGAAGAUUGAUAUAUAGGAUGACCUCAUUUGAUUACCGGAAGGUUUUCGGAAUUACCGGGAAUGUACCGGGAAUGACGAAUGGGUUCCGGGAGUUCACCGGGNACAGCCCAAGAAGGCCCUAUGCGCCAUAGGAAGAAAAUCAAAGAGAAAAAAGGAGGAGGUGGGAAAGGAAAGAAGGACUCCUCCCACCAAACCAAGUAGGACUCGGUUUCGGGGGGGGAGACCUUCCCCCCUUGGCUCGGCCGACCCCCUUGGGGCUCCUUGAGCCCCAAGGCAAGGCUCCCCCUCUCCCACCUAUAUAUACGGAGGUUUUAGGGCUGAUUUGAGACGACUUUUCCACGGCAGCCCGACCACAUACCUCCACGGUUUUUCCUGUAGAUCGCGUUUCUGCGGAGCUCGGGCGGAGCCCUGCUGAGACAAGAUCAUCACCAACCUCCGGAGCGCCGUCACGCUGCCGGAGAACUCUUCUACCUCUCCGUCUCUCUUGCUGGAUCAAGAAGGCCGAGAUCAUCGUCGAGUUGUACGUGUGCUGAACGCGGAGGUGCCGUCCGUUCGGCACUAGAUCGUGGGACUGAUCGCGGGACUGUUCGCGGGGCGGAUCGAGGGACGUGAGGAUGUUCCACUACAUCAACCGCGUUCACUAACGCUUCUGCUGUACGGUCUACAAGGGUUCGUAGAUCACAUAUCCCCUCUCUUAGAUGGACAUCACCAUGAUAGGUCUUCGUGCGCGUAGGAAAUUUUUUAUUUCCCAUGCGACGUUCCCCAACAGUGGCAUCAUGAGCUAGGUUCAUGCGUAGAUGUCUUCUCGAGUAGAACACAAAAGUUUUUGUGGGCGGUGAUGUGCGUUUUGCUGCCCUCCUUAGUCUUUUCUUGAUUCCGCGGUAUUGUUGGAUUGAAGCGGCUUGGACCGACAUUACUCGUACGCUUACGAGAGACUGGUUUCAUCGCUACGAGUAACCCCGUUGCUCAAAGAUGACUGGCAAGUGUCAGUUUCUCCAACUUUAGUUGAAUCGGAUUUGACCGAGGAGGUCCUUGGAUGAGGUUAAAUAGCAACUCAUAUAUCUCCGUUGUGGUGUUUGCGUAAGUAAGAUGCGAUCCUACUAGAUACCCAUGGUCACCACGUAAAACAUGCAACAACAAAUUAGAGGACGUCUAACUUGUUUUUGCAGGGUAUGCUUGUGAUGUGAUAUGGCCAACGAUGUGAUGUGAUAUAUUGGAUGUAUGAGCUGAUCAUGUUGUAAUAGAUAAUAUCGACUUGCACGUCGAUGGUACGGCAACCGGCAGGAGCCAUAGGGUUGUCUUUAUACUAACGUUUGUGCUUGCAGAUGCGUUUACUAUUUUGCUAGGAUGUAGCUUUAGUAGUAAUAGCAUGAGUAGCACGACAACCCCGAUGGCGAAACGUUGAUGGAGAUCAUGGUGUGGCGCCGGUGACAAGAAGAUCGUGCCGGUGCUUUGGUGAUGGAGAUCAAGGAGCACGUGAUAAUGGCCAUAUCAUGUCACUUAUGAAUUUCAUGUGAUGUUAAUCCUUUUAUGCACCUUAUUUUUCUUAGAACGACGGUAGCAUUAUGAGGUGAUCUCUCACUAAAAUUUCAAGACGAAAUUGUGUUCUCCCCGACUGUGCACCGUUGCUACAGUUCGUCGUUUCGAGACACCACGUGAUGAUCGGGUGUGAUAGACUCAACGUUCACAUACAACGGGUGCAAAACAGUUGCGCACGCGGAACACUCGGGUUAAGCUUGACGAGCCUAGCAUGUGCAGACAUGGCCUCGGAACACAUGAGACCGAAAGGUCGAUCAUGAAUCAUAUAGAUGACAUGAUUAGCAUAGGGAUGCUUACCACUGAAACUAUGCUCAACUCACGUGAUGAUCGGACUUGAGCUAGUGUAAGUGGAUCAUGAACCACUCAAAUGACUAGAGAGAUGUACUUUUUGAGUGGGAGUUUAGCGAUUAAUUUGAUUAAGUUAAACUCUAAUUAUCUUGAACAUAGUCUAAGUCCACUUUGAAUAUAUUUGUGUUGUAGAUCAUGGCUCACGCGACAGUCACCCUGAAUUUUAUUACGUUCCUAGAGAAAGCUAAGUUGAAAGAUGAUGGAAGCAACUUUGUAGACUGGGCUCGUAAUCUUAAGCUAAUGUUACAAGCUGGGAAGAAGGAUUAUGUCCUUAAUGCUGCGCUAGGAGAUGAACCACCCGCUACGGCUGAUCAGGAUGUUAAGAACGCUUGGUUAACACGUAAGGAGGACUACUCAGUAGUUCAAUGUGCAGUCUUGUAUGGCUUAGAACCGGGACUUCAACGUUGCUUUGAGCGUCAUGGAGCAUUUGAGAUGUUCCAGGAGUUGAAGUUUAUCUUUCAGAAGAACGCCCGGAUCGAGAGGUAUGAGACCUCCGAUAAAUUCUAUGCUUGCAAGAUGGAGGAAAACUCGUCUGUCAGUGAACAUGUGCUCAAAAUGUCUGGGUACUCAAACCAUCUAGCUGAGCUGGGGAUUGAACUCCCGCAAGAGGCUAUCACUGACAGAAUCCUUCAAUCACUGCCGCCAAGCUAUAAAGGCUUUGUGUUGAACUACAACAUGCAAGGGAUGAACAAGUCUCCCAGCGAGUUGUUUGCGAUGCUGAAAGUCGCAGAGUCUGAACUCCGUAAAGAGCAUCAAGUGUUGAUGGUGAAUAAGACCACUAGUUUCAAGAGAAACGACAAAGGCAAGAAGGGUAAUUCAAAGAAGAGCGGCAAGCCUAUUGCCAAUCCGACGAAGAAACCCAAAGCUGGACCUAAGCCUGAAACAGAGUGUUACUAUUGCAAGGGUAUGGGUCACUGGAAGCGCAAUUGCCCCAAGUAUCUGGCAGAUAAGAAAGCGGCCAAAGAAAAAUCAGGUAUAUUUGAUAUACAUGUUAUUGAUGUGUACUUAACCGGCUCUCGUAGUAGUGCCUGGGUAUUCGAUACCGGUUCUGUUGCUCAUAUUUGCAACUCGAAACAGGAACUGCGGAAUAGACGAAGGCUGGCGAAAGAUGAAGUGACGAUGCGCGUAGGAAAUGGUUCCAAGGUUGAUGCAACCGCCGUCGGCACAAUUUCACUUCAUUUACCAUCAGGAUUAGUUAUGAACUUGAAUCAUUGUUAUUUAGUGCCCGCGUUGGGCAUGAACAUUAUAUCUGGAUCUUGUUUAUUGCGAGACGGUUACUCUUUUAAGUCAGAGAAUAAUGGUUGUUCUAUUUCUAUGAGUAACAUCUUUUAGGGUCAUGCACCCAAUGUGAGAGGAUUGUUCAUAUUGAAUCUUGAUAGCGAUACACACAUACAUAACAUUGAGACCAAAAGAGUUAGGGUUAACAAUGAUAGCGCCAUAUUUUUGUGGCACUGCCGCUUAGGUCAUAUUGGUGUAAAGCGCAUGAAGAAACUCCAUGCCGAUGGACUUUUGGAGUCACUUGACUUUGAUUCACUUGACACGUGCGAACCAUGCCUCAUGGGGAAGAUGACUAAAACUCCGUUCUCCGGAACAAUGGAGCGUGCAAGUGACUUGUUGGAAAUCAUACAUACCGAUGUGUGUGGUCCGAUGAGCGUAGAGGCACGCGGCGGAUAUCGUUAUUUUCUCACCUUCACUAACGAUUUGAGUAGAUAUGGUUAUGUCUACUUAAUGAAGCACAAGUCUGAAACAUUUGAAAAGUUCAAGCAAUUUCAGAGUGAAGUUGAAAAUCAUCGUAACAAGAAGAUCAAGUUUCUACGGUCUGAUCGUGGGGGUGAAUAUCUGAGUUUCGAGUUUGGUGCUCACUUAAGACAAUGUGGAAUUGUUUCACAGUUGACACUGCCUGGAACACAACAGUGUAAUGGUGUGACCGAACGUCGUAAUCGUACUUUAUUAGAGAUGGUGCGAUCUAUGAUGUCUCUUACCGAUUUGCCGUUAUCGUUUUGGGGUUAUGCAUUAGAAACAACUGCAUUCACUUUAAAUAGGGCACCAUCAAAAUCCGUUGAGACGACACCAUACGAACUGUGGUAUGGCAAAAGGCCAAAGUUGUCGUUUCUUAAAGUUUGGGGAUGUGAUGCUUAUGUCAAAAAGCUUCAGCCUGAAAAGCUGGAACCCAAAGCGGAAAAGUGCGUCUUCAUAGGUUACCCAAAAGAGACAAUUGGGUACACCUUCUAUCUCAAAUCCGAGGGCAAAGUGUUUGUUGCUAAAAACAGAGCUUUUCUCGAGAAGGAGUUUCUCUCGAGAGAAUUGAGUGGGAGGAAGAUAGAACUUGACGAGGUUGUCGAACCUCUCAUCCCUCUGGAUGGUGGCGCAGGGCAAGGGGAAACCUCUGUCGUUGCGAUGCCGGUUGAGGAGGAAGUUAAUGAUGAUGAUCAUGAAACUCCGGUUCAAGUUUCUGUCGAACCACGCAGGUCGAUGAGACCACGUGCUGCUCCUGAGUGGUACGGUAAUCUCGUCUUAUCAAUCAUGUUGUUGGACAACAAUGAACCUGCAAAUUAUGAAGAAGCAAUGGUGGGCCCAGAUUCCAACAAAUGGCUAGAAGCCAUGAAGUCCGAGAUAGGAUCCAUGUAUGAGAACAAAGUGUGGACUUUGGAGGAACUGCUUGAGGGCCGCAAGGCUAUUCUGAACAAAUGGAUCUUUAAGAGGAAGACGGACGCUGACGGCAAUGUGACCGUUUAUAAAGCUCGACUUGUGGCAAAGGGUUUUUCACAAGUUCAAGGAGUUGACUACGAUGAGACAUUCUCACCCGUAGCGAUGCUUAAGUCCGUCAGAAUCAUGUUAGCAAUAGCUGCAUUUUUCGAUUAUGAAAUCUGGCAGAUGGAUGUCAAAACGGCGUUCCUUAACGGUUUCCUUAAGGAAGAAUUGUAUAUGAUGCAACCCGAAGGUUUUGUCGAUCCUAAGAAUGCUAACAAGGUGUGCAAGCUGCAGCGAUCCAUUUAUGGACUGGUGCAAGCAUCUCGGAGUUGGAACAAACGCUUUGAUGAGGUGAUCAAAGCUUUUGGGUUUAUACAAGUGGUUGGAGAAUCUUGUAUUUACAAGAAAGUGAGCGGGAGCUCUGUGGCGUUUCUAAUAUUAUAUGUGGAUGACAUAUUGCUGAUUGGAAACAACGUAGAGUUUUUAGAGAGCAUAAAGGAUUACUUGAAUAAAAGUUUCUCUAUGAAGGACCUAGGAGAAGCUGCUUACAUUCUAGGCAUUAAGACAUAUAGGGAUAGAUCAAAACGCAUGAUAGGACUUUCACAAAGCACAUACCUUGAUAAAGUUUUGAAGAGGUUCAAAAUGGAACAGUCCAAGAAAGGGUUCUUGCCAGUUUUACAAGGUACGAGAUUGAGUAAGACUCAGUGCCCAGCAACUGAUGAGGAUAGAGAGCAUAUGCACUCCGUCCCCUAUGCUUCAGCCAUAGGUUCUAUCAUGUAUGCAAUGCUGUGCACUAGACCGGACGUUAGCCUGGCCAUAAGUAUGGAAGGUAGGUUCCAGAGUAAUCCAGGAGUAGAUCACUGAACGGCGGUCAAGAAUAUCCUGAAGUACCUGAAAAGGACUAAGGAGAUGUUUCUCGUGUAUGGAGGUGACGAAGAGCUCGCCGUCAAAGGUUACGUCGAUGCAAGCUUUGACACAGAUCCAGACGACUCUAAGUCGCAAACCGGAUACGUAUUUAUUCUUAAUGGGGGUGCUGUAAGCUGGUGCAGUUCCAAGCAAAACGUCGUAGCAGAUUCUACAUGUGAAGCGGAGUACAUGGCUGCCUCGGAGGCGGCUAAGGAGGGUGUCUGGAUGAAGCAAUUCAUGACGGAUCUUGGAGUGGUGCCAAGAGCACUGAAUCCAAUAGUUCUGUGACAACACGGGUGCCAUUGCCUUAGCAAAGGAACCACGGUUUCACAAGAAGUCCAGACACAUCAAACGACGCUUCAACCUCAUCCGCGACUACGUCGAAGGAGAGGACGUAAAUAUAUGCAAAGUGCACACGGGUCUGAAUGUAGCAGACCCGCUGACUAAACCUCUUCCACGGCCAAAGCAUGAUCAACACCAGAACUGUAUGGGUGUUAGAUUUAUUACAAUGUAAUUCGCAUGAUGAUGUGAGGGCUAGAUUAUUGACUCUAGUGCAAGUGGGAGACUGUUGGAAUUAUGCCCUAGAGGCAAUAAUAAAUAUAGUUAUUAUUAUAAUUCCUGUAUCAAGAUAAUCGUUUAUUAUCCAUGCUAUAAUUGUAUUGAAUGAAGACUCAUUUACAUGUGUGGAUAAAUAGACAAAACACUGUCCCUAGCAAGCCUCUAGUUGGCUAGCCAGUUGAUCAAAGAUAGUCAGUGUCUUCUGAUUAUGAACAAGGUGUUGCUGCUUGAUAACUGGAUCACGUCAUUAGGAGAAUCACGUGAUGGACUAGACCCAAACUAAUAGACGUAGCAUGUUGAUCGUGUCAUUUUGUUGCUACUGUUUUCUGCGUGUCAAGUAUUUGUUCCUAUGACCAUGAGAUCAUAUAACUCACUAACACCGGAGGAAUACUUUGUGUGUAUCAAACGUCGCAACGUAACUGGGUGACUAUAAAGAUGCUCUACAGGUAUCUCCGAAGGUGUUCGUUGAGUUAGUAUGGAUCAAGACUGGGAUUUGUCACUCCGUGUGACGGAGAGGUAUCUCGGGGCCCACUCGGUAAUACAACAUCACACACAAGCCUUGCAAGCAAUGUAACUUAGUGUAAGUUGCGGGAUCUUGUAUUACGGAAAGAGUAAAGAGACUUGCCGGUAAACGAGAUUGAAAUAGGUAUGCGGAUACUGACGAUCGAAUCUCGGGCAAGUAACAUACCGAAGGACAAAGGGAAUGACAUACGGGAUUAUAUGAAUCCUUGGCACUAAGGUUCAAAUGAUAAGAUCUUCAUAGAAUAUAUAGGAUCCAAUAUGGGCAUCCAGGUCCCGCUAUUGGAUAUUGACCGAGGAGUCUCUCGGGUCAUGUCUACAUAGUUCUCGAACCCGCAGGGUCUGCACACUUAAGGUUCGACGUUGUUUUAUGCGUAUUUGAGUUAUAUGGUUGGUUACCGAAUGUUGUUCGGAGUCCUGGAUCAGAUCAUGGACGUCACGAGGGUUUCCGGAAUGGUCCAGAAACGAAGAUUGAUAUAUAGGAUGACCUCAUUUGAUUACCGGAAGGUUUUCGGAAUUACCGGGAAUGUACCGGGAAUGACGAAUGGGUUCCGGGAGUUCACCGGGNNNNNNNNNNNNNNNNNNNNNNNNNNNNNNNNNNNNNNNNNNNNNNNNNNNNNNNNNNNNNNNNNNNNNNNNNNNNNNNNNNNNNNNNNNNNNNNNNNNNGAAGCCAUCUCGUCAUCUCUACAACAGUUUGGGAACAAAGUUAUCCUUGAGAUACAGUCAGCACACAGCAAGAGACAAAAAGAAAUGCCCACAGCUGAAAAGCUCACUGACAAGUGUAUUAAAACCAAAUUGCUUAGCCAAAACACAAGCAAGCACUUCUGAUUUUCAUGUGGUGUUUCCCCAUAAUACAUAAUUACAUGGUGCAUUACAGCAUGCACGCGGAUCAAAGAUACUCAUUCUCGGUCGUCGUUGGUUAUUGCACAUAACCAAUACCUAAAAAACGGUUUGGGAAGGAAAAUCGGGUUUUUGAAAGAUCAGGGCAAAAUCCAUGGCUCCACUCCACCCCGCUCUCCGCUCCACCCACCCCUAGCCUAGCUUUGCCCCGCCUCCUCCCGUCGCCGUCGAGCUCCGCCGGCACCCUCCCCUCGCCAUGGCCCUCUCCUGCUCCAGCGAGGCGAGCUCCUCCAGCCACGCGCGCCGCAGGCAGGUCUCCCUCGACGGCUCGUCCUCCGCGCGCUCCCCGGUUCCGACGGCGCGCCAGCAGGCUGCUACGCCGCCCCGCGCCGACCCAUCCGCCCCCCCUGCGGCUGGUGUGUGCCGGGUGCCGGCCACGGCUCGCCUAGGGCCACGUUCGGAGAUGCACCAGGUGGAGCGCGCUAGAGCCGCGGUCGAUCAAGAGGGGUUCGAGCUCCCUUGACGCCGGGACCGACGCCGCCGUCCCCGGCGUGCCGCUGCGCCGGGCCCCGCUCCGCCUUGUCCCCGUAGCCCUUCGGCCGAGGAGGCGGCGGGCCUCUGCUUCCGCUGCCUGGACUCACGCCACAGGGUGCGCGACUGCACCGGAGAUGUCCGCUGCCGCCGCUGCCUCGUGUCUGGCCAUGAGUCCUGGGAAUGCCCAGACCGCCGCCGCCCCAGCACUCGCGCCCACUCCCCGCGCGCGCCUACGGCGAGGACCGCGCCGCCGGCGACGCCACGCCCCGUGGCGUUCCGCACACCCCCGCUGCUGCCCCCCAUGGAGGCCCAGGAACGCACCAAUGUCCCGUCCGCUCCAGUGCGGGUCAUCCUCGCCCGCUCCGUCGAGAUCGAGGAGACGGAGGGCGUCUUGCGCCGGGCCAUGGUGGCCACCAUCACUGGGACGCGACCCGUCGUCUACGCGAAAGAGGUGGCCGAGCUGCUGCACACUUCCCUCGCCCUGCACCCCGGCGACUUCUCCAUGCACCUCCACCACCCGGAGGACUUCCUCAUCGUCCUCGCCUCCCGCGAGCUCAAGCACCGCCUCACCGGCGACCACUUCAUCUCCGGCCCUCACUUCUCCCUCUCGCUGCGCCCAUGGUGUAAGCUCGCGCAUGCUAGCUCGGCAGGUUGGACUACCGCGUCGAGCUCGAGCUCCGCGGGAUCCCCGCCCAGGCUUGGCAUCUCUCCACGACGGAGCACAUCCUGGGCAGCAGCUGCUGGAUCGAGAGGCUGCACCCGAGCACGCGCUCCCGCGCCGACCUCGCCACGUUCCGGCUCUCCGCCCGCACCGCCGACCCGGCCCGCAUCCACCGCCACGCCACCUUGGAGAUCGUCGAGUCGCAUCCCUCGCGCCACCAGUCGGACGCCCCUGCCAUCUCCACCCUCACGUACCCGGUGUUCAUCACGCUCGCCCGUGCCGAGCUCGAUGCCCCUGCGCCGAGCAGCCACGCCCCAGCGGUCGAUCCCGACGACGGCCAGGACGAUAACCAAGGGCGCCGCGACGACGACCCUGCCAGGCGCGCCCGCCAACACCACUGUGGUCGCAAGAGGCGUCGCACCGGCUCCACCCCUGCUCGUCGCGCCGACGGCAUGCAGAUGGACGACCUCCCCUGGCCGCGCAACCCGCGCCCGCAGCGCGCUGACGGCAUCGCCGUGGUUGCUGGCUGGACCUCGACAUGUGAAGUGCGACGUACGGUCACACAGCCGGCGGCGCUCCGCCCGUUCCGCAUCAUCCGGCCAUGGCCUGGCCUACGCGGGGCCUGCGGUACCCGUCGCCCUCGUCAGCCCCUUGAAAAAGUGCAGGGCAAAGCAGUCAAACAUGUUCUGCCUCUGAUCCCCAGGCCGACAGGAUCAGAAGCCGCAGAGGGGGCGCCCACACCCGUGGCUCAGGAUCGCUCGCAGGUCCCCAACUUUGGCGCGGGCCCCAGCAUGGAUUCGAUCCCGCAGUCGCCCGACGCGGUCGUGGAGGGCAUCGGGACACCGCUUCGCGCUACUCCAACCCCAUCUACCCAACCAGAUCAGCCGCUUUUUGUGGGGUCCCUCUCUUUGGACGCAGUGAUCCCUGUCGAAGCUGAUCCCCACGUGGAUGACGAGACCCUGGCCCGGUCGAUGGAGGGCCCGAUGACGGCGGACCCUGCCAGCCCCGUCCCCACUUCCUCGCCUGAUGCGGAUGCGCCCACCACUACCGUGGCCACCCCACCCCUUGCAGAUGCGCCUAUCAGCCCCCCGGCUACCCCACCCCCUGCAAACGCGCCAAUCAGCACUGCAGAUGCGCCAAUCAGUCCUCUGGCUUCCCCCGCGGGCCGUUUCGUUUCCCCGUCAAUCACCAUGAUGCGACCGCGCCAUCGGCGACCCACCGAGACGUGGACAUUGGGAGAGUUCCUCUCGGCCGCCACUAAGCACAUCAGUGUUGUCCUCCCCACCCCAGGAAAGCGCCUACGCCGGCCAGCACUGAACUUCUCUCCGCGACGGGGCCGAUCCGUGUCCUCCUCGACCUCCAAGACCGUUGCUCCUCCCACGGCUGAGCGUCGGGCGCAGGUGCAGGUCCUCCGCACCCUCGGCAUCUUAGGCAUAAACCAGCAGACCACCGCUGCCGAUAUGCGGGCCUACGACGGCAUCUUCGCCAUGCCCAUCCCCCGGCCUGUGCUCGCUGUCAUCGCAGCGCUGGUUGAGCGCGAGCUGCCUCCCCUCUAGGGAACGGCGCCGACCGCGACCCCAUCGCGGUCUAAUCGCUGUGUGCAGCACCUGUCGAACAUGUUCUCAUGAAUUACGACCUCAAAAUUGUAAUCUGGAACGCCCGCGGCAUGAACGCACGCGCUCGUCGUUCGGCCAUUCGCUCGCUGAUCUGUACCACCGAGGCAUCCAUUGUUUGCAUUCAAGAAACAAAGAUGGAGUUCAUUUGCUCGUCGACCGUCCUUGAGACGCUUGGCUCCGAGUUCGACGAAUACGUCUAUCUGCCGACAGUCGACACCCGCGGUGGCAUACUCUUGGCUUGGAAGAGCCGGUCCGUCGCCCUCUCCAAUCAGUCGUUUGCCACGAACUCGCUCUCAGCCAGAGUUACCAUGCCUGGCGCCCCCCCUGGUGGCUUACUGUGGUAUACGGGCCCUAGGCCGACGCGGCGAAGAUUGCCUUCCUGCAGGAGCUUCGCGACGUGCGAGCUGCCUGCCCUGGACCUUGGAUGCUAUGCGGAGACUUCAACCUGAUCUAUCACGAGGAGGAUAAGAACAACCGCAACCUCAACCGCCGCAUGAUGGGCAAGUUUCGCCGCCUGAUUGACGACCUCGCGCUCAAAGAAGUAUACCUCAACGGCCGCCAGUACACGUGGUCAAACGAGCAAUCGCCGCCGACGCUCAUGCGCCUCGACCGCGUCCUGUGCACCACAGACUAGGAAGAGCUACAUGGGGAGUGCCGCCUCCGCUGCCUCGCGUCCGUCGUCUCUGACCAUAGCCCUCUACUGCUGGAUUGCUGCCCCUUGCCUCGCGCUCACCGACGAUUCCACUUCGAGCAGUUCUGGCUCCGCCUGGAUGGCUUCCAGGACGUGGUGACCAUGGCUUGGGGCUCCGUCACUCAUUACGAUCCCUUCAAGCGCAUGAUGCUACGCCUCCAGGCCACCGCCCGCGCGCUUACUAGCUAGAGCGCCCGCUCGGUCGGUGGUGGCCGCCUCAAGCUCGCAAUCGCGCGGGAGCUGAUCUCCCGUUUCGACAAGGCGCAAGAGGACCGGGCCCUCACCCCCGACGAGCGCUGGCUACGCUCCCAGUUGAAGGUAUCCUACCUCGGGCUUGCCUCGCUCGAGCGCACCAUUGCCCGCCAACGAGCGCGGAUUACCUCGUUGAAGGACGGUGACGCCAACACCUCCUUCCACCGCCAGAGCACCUACCGCAGGCAGAAGAACAGGAUCUACAACAUCAGCAUCGACGGUCACGCGAUUUCUAGCCAGGACGACAUGGCGGACGCAGCCUACACACACUUUGAUGGCCUACUUAGCAGCGCCGUCGACCGCGAGUGCUCGCUCCACCUUGACGAGCUUAUCGAGCCCGCCGACGGCCUCCUCGCCCUCGAGGAGCCGUCGCCGCCGAGGAAAUCUGGCACGCUAUUCAACGACUCCCCGCGCACAAGGCGCCGGGCCCCGACGGCUUCACUACAGAGUUCCUGCGCGCUUGCUGGCCCACGGUGUGGCAAGACCUGGUGGACGUCUUCAGCAGCUGUACGACAUGCGCGACCGAGGUUUCGACCGCCUCAACCAGGCGCUGCUCACCUUGCUCCCCAAGCGUGCCGAUGCCGCCACCUUCAGGGAUUACAGGCCGAUCAGCCUCAUCCAUCUCGUCGCCAAGGUGUUCGCCAAAGUGCUCUCCCUCCGCCUUGGCCCAGAGCUGGAUCGCCUCGUCAGCCCGAACCAAAACGCAUUCAUCCCUGGGCGCAGCCUCCACGACAACUUCGUCCUCGUCAAGCAAUCGGCGCAGCUACUCCACCAGCUCAAAGCCCCACGCGCCCUCCUCAAGCUGGACCUGACCAAAGCAUUCGACUCGAUCUCCUGGCCUUUUGUCUUCGAGGUGUUGCACCGAUACGGUUUUGGCACCCGCUUCCGAGCAUGGAUGGCCAUCCUGCUAUCUUCGGCGAGCACCCGGGUGCUGCUCAAUGGCGACCCGGGCCCCCUGAUUUGGCAUCGUCGAGGAUUCCGACAGGGCGACCCGCUGUCCCCGCAGCUCUUCGUCCUUGCCGUCGACGUGCUCGGCCGGCUCGUCAACCGGGCCACCUCGCUGGGUCUCCUACAGCGCCUCCACCCGCGGCACACGGUACUGGCGAUCUCGUUGUACGCUGACGACGUCGUGCUGUUCUGCCAUCCAUCGCCGGACAAGAUCACCGCUGUCAAGGGCAUCCUGUGCCUCUUCGGCCGCGCCUCCAGACUUCACGUCAACUUCGCCAAGAGCACAGCGACACUCAUUCGCUGCGACGAGGAGGCGGCAACCGCGGCAGUGCAGCUGCUCGGCUGUCCCAUCGCCGAGCUCCUGGUCACCUACUUGGGAAUCCCACUCACGAUCCGGCGAUCUGGUGGACAAGGUGAGGGGCCAACUGCCGUCCUGGAAGGCGUGGCUCAUGAACAAGGUUGGGCGCCUCGUGAUGGUGAAAUCCGUCCUCUGCGCAGUCCCCAUUCACCAACUGCUCGUUUUUGCACCGCCCAAGAAGACCAUCAAGCAACUGGAGAAGAUCGAGCGCGGCUUCCUGUGGGCUGGCCGUGAGGCUGCCAAUGGGGGUAACUGCCACGUAAACUGGCGGCGCACUUGCCGCCCCAUCGAGCUUGGAGGCCUUGGCAUCCCAGACCUCGAGCGCACCGGGUUGGCUCUCCGCCUGCGGUGGCUUUGGCUCAGCCACACCGACCGGAACAGAGCUUGGAGUGGGCUCGACCUGCAGUUCUCGGCGGACGAACGCGCCCUGUUCUUCGCCUGCACCACGAUGUCCCUGGAGAACGGCCUCUUGGCCCUCUUCUGGGACGAUCGCUGGAUCGGCGGCCGAUCUGUUGGCGAGAUAGCACUGCGGCUCCUCGCCUGCAUCCCCAUGCGCAGGAGAAAGGCGCGGACGGUUGCGGAGGGGCUCAAUGCCAACGCCUGGGCUCGUGACAUCGAGGGCACUCUCGGUGUCCACGAGAUUGGCCAGUACAUCCGCCUCUGGAACGUCAUCGAGCACACCAUCCUGCUCAACACGCCCGACCAGCUCUCCUGGAAGUGGACUACGAAUGGUUCAUACUCCGCUAAGUCCUGCUACAAGAUUACCUUCCAGGGAUCCAUCCCCGGCGCCUCCUGGAAGCUCAUAUGGAAGAGUUGGGCUCCACCCCGGGUGCGUUUCUUCCACUGGCUCGCUGACCAGGAUAGAUGCUGGACCUCCGACCGCCUAGCUCGUCGCGGGCUACGGCACCACAACCCUUGCAUUCUGUGCUGCCAGGACCCCGAGACAAUGGACCACUUGCUCCUCCGCUGCCCCUUCUCCAGGCAGGUCUGGCAAAGCAUCAUCGCCUGGCUCCGCUUGCCGUGCACCGCCCCCAGCCAUGAGAUUUCCCUUCUUGCCUGGUGGCAUCGCGCCAAGCGGAGUAUGCCGCAGCCCAUGCGCAAAGGCUUCGCCUCCGUGACCCUGCUGACCCCAUGGAUGAUAUGGAAACACCGCAACAGUUGUGUGUUUGAGGGCACCCAACCCUCGAUGAACGACCUGGUCGCGAAGAUCAAAGAAGAAGCGUCCCUCUGGACCAAGGCAGGAGCGGCCGGUCUCCGUGUCAUCUACCCCAGACCUGGUAUGUACACUAGACAUAGGCUUUUCCAUUCCCAGCAUUGCCCCUCCUAGGAGGAUUGUAAUAUAAACUCUACCUUUUCAAUACAAAGAAACGCAUGCAUCUCAAUGCGUUUUCUCGAAGAAAAAAAACGGGUUUGGACCCAUAGUUUAUAACCGUUAAUAACCAAACUGUUUAAACCCAUAACAACCUAUACCAAACUGGUUUCUCCACAUACCCAAACCAAAACCAAACUAAAAAAAGCUCAGCCCAAUAAAACCUGAACCAAUCAAACCUAAAGUAAAAACCGAACCGUUACACCCAGUUUUUUAAUAACCAUUCUCAGGUUUGCCAGCCAUAUGCAAACCAUAAAAACUGGGAUCUAUAAACACCAGUGGUUUUAUAUUUUUUGGUAAGAAAAGUCUAGAUAGAUAAAAUUAAAGGCUUAAAACCGCAAGCAUAGAGACAAGAGCCCCCAUAUUGCAUGGUUGAAUAAAUUGCAAAGGUUAAAAAUCCUGCAUCCAGCAAUGAUGAGUGCAUUUUAUAUUUGAGGCAUGAACUACUGCAUCCAAAUCUCAACUGGCCACAUGGCAUUGAAGGAGAGACAAUGAAAAAAUGCAUGGCAUUAAAAUCAUCAGAAGCAGAUCAUAUUGCUACAAUCAUAAUCACUCUUAAGAAUGACUAAAAUGUCAAUUAAAAAAAAACUUACCAAGCACAGUGCUCCAAUUGCAAGAGUAAUGUUAACGGCAACUCUAGGAUUAGAUACAGGGACGCACUUGCACAAUAUCUGCAACCACAAUUAGGAAAAGUUAGGGAGAAGUUAUCAUUAACAGGGAAAGGAAGCUAACUUUGUUCAUGAAAGUAAAAGGAGGAAAAGGAAGAUAGCAAUAUGGAAGGAUGGAUUCAUGUGAUAGUAAAAUCCUGAUAAUUUACACCUAAAUGAACAAAAUCAUAUUUACCCUAUGUCAAAAUAACAAUCAUAAUCCAUAAUUUGUGGGAUGACUCUUUUGAGUCAGCACGUUGCCAGUAAAAAAGUAAACACUAGAUUAUUAUUUGAGUAAGCAGCGGCCAUAACAUUUACUGAUGUACCUCAAAACCUACAUACAUACAUAGAGAGAGUUGUACCGUGGACACGCUGGGACGUCACAUUAGACGGGCCAUGUCGCUUGGCAUCUUGGAGCAGCUGUACCCUCGCCGCCCUAUUCCGGAAAUCUCACUCUACGCUGACGACGUGGUACUUUUUUGCCACCCCUCCCUGAGCGACAUCGCCGCGAUCAAGGCGAUCCUGGAGCUAUUCGGUCGAGCCUCGGGGCUCCGCGUCAACUACAACAAGAGCUCCGCCACCAUGCUCAACUGCGCACCGGGAGACACAGAUCUGAUCACGGAGCUCCUUGGGUGCAAGAUCGCGGACCUGCCGCUCACGUACCUCGGGAUUCCUUUCACCAUCCGGCGACCCACAAACGCCCAGCUGCAGCCCCUGGUUGAUACGGUUGGCGGCAUGCUCCCUAGGUGGAAGUCUAAGCUCAUGAACAAAUCGGGCCGCCCCGCCCUUGUCAAGUCCGUGCUCUGCGCCAUCCAUAUUUUACCAAAUCCUCGUCUUCGCCCCACCGAAGAAAACGAUCAAGCUCGUUGAGAAAACUGAGAGAGGAUUCCUAUGGGAGGGUCGCGCCGCCGCAAACGGCGGCAGCUGCCACAUCAAUUGACGUCGCAUCUGCCGGCCUCUCCCCCUCGGCGGCCAGGACAUGGAGCGCGCCGGGCUCGCCCUCUGGCUGCGGUGGCUUUGGUUCAGCCGAACAGACGAGGGCCGAGCUUGGCAUGGCCUCGAUCUCCAGUUCUCCAAGGAAGAGCAUGCCCUGUUCUUCGCCUCCACCUCACUAGCCGUGGGAGAUGGCAGAACAGGCAAAUUUUGGGAGGACCGCUGGAUCAAUGGCCGCUCCAUCGGCGAGAUCGCGCCCCAGCUCUAUGCUUGCAUCCCCAAGCACCGGCGCAAGCAGCGCACCAUCGCGGAGGGCCUUCUGAACCACGCUUGGGUGCGAGAUAUACACAGCUACCUGGGCAUCCACGAAAUAGGUCAAUACAUGUUGUGGCGUGAAACUAAAGGCAUUGCCCUCACCGAGCAAUCAGACCAGCUAAUCUGGAGGUGGACCUCGAGCGGCUCCUACUCUGCACGCAGUGCUUACCUCGCCACCUUCCACGGCUCCGCUAGCUGUGAUGCAUGGAAGCUGACCUGAAAGAGCUGGGGCCCGCCACGUGUCAAAUUCUUCCUGUGGCUCGCCAAUCUGGACAGAUGCUGGACCGUGGACCAAUUGCGCCGCCGCGGCCUUCAGCACCAUCCACGUUGCGUCUUGUGCGACCAAGAGCCUGAAACGAUGCGCCACCUGCUAGUCACAUGCCCCUUCUCGCGGCAGGUAUGGCAUGAGACGCUCUCCUGGCUACAUCUGACCUGCCGACCGCCAGACCAGGCCACCCUGAACGAUUGGUGGAUGCAUGCCAAGCUGGAGACGCCAAAACCCAUGCGCAAGGGCCUCGCCACGGCAACUCACUCGACGGCAUGGAUGCUCUGGAAGCACCGCAACUCCUGUGUGUUCGACGGCGACCAGCCCUCCACCGCCCUGCUUUCGACAAGAAUCAGAGAGGAAGCAUCCCUUUGGGUUCGGGCUGGGGCCACUGGGUUCACUAGUUUUUUGCUUUUUUGAACCCCUGUAAACCUCCUCCUCGGAGGCGUGUACUGUUAAACUCUCUCCCUAUUCAAUGAGAAGAAACGCUCGAAAAAAACAUAGAGGGAGUUGUUAGAAAAUUCCCAAAAACUAUGUUCUUUUUAUUUGCAUCAGCACCCCAUCAUCUAAACUGGCACUUUAUUAGUAGCAUUCGUGGCAAGUUCUGAUAAAGGUUUUCUCGAACAAAGAUAUCUAUAAAAUUGAAUGAAUAACUAAGACAUGUACGCACCUUGAAAAUAUCGUUAGCUGCUUUUAACGGUUUAUUGAACUUUGAAGAUUCUUUAGUGUCAAGCAAAGUUACAACUGCCUGCAUCCAAUGGGAAACAAAUGAUUUCCAUGAAUGCAAGGCAAGAAGAGCUACCACAAUGUUUCUUGAUAUAAACAUAGAUUCGGCCAUCUCCAUUAAUGCUUGCUCAUAUGCAGCAUGUACUUUAGACAAAUCCUGCGAAUAAAAAAAUGUAACUGAUCAGUAUAGUAUAGAAGGACACACGUUUUGGCAAUUAUAGAUGAAAACAUGCAACUUCAAAGAUGCUACCUUAGAUUUCCCUUCACGAAGGAUGUCCUCUGAGGAAAACUUGAUGGUUAAAAGAGCUGCACCAGGCAACCGAUGGUGUGCGGAUUUUUCUACAAUUUGAAAGUUUAGCCGAAUAAAAGCUGAAGCUACCAUCACAAUGCAUUAAACAUAGAACAGAACAAAUUACAUAUGUUUUCAUAUUUAACAUAAAAAGGAGCAUUUUAAGAAACAGUAUAGUGGACAAAAUAUCAAGCAUUCACCUAUUUACUUGUACAAAAAUUUAACUCAUUUGCAUAUGACAAUCAUACCUUUAAACACGGCCUGAGGGAGAACAUCCAAUAACUUCUCAAAUUUGUGCACCGUGUUUCUUUUAUCUGUAGUCACUCUACGGCGGUUUCUAGAUGUGUAGGGAAAAACCUUAGUUAAGGAUGUACAUGCGCAUCUGAACUGGGUAAUUUCAGAAAAUAUACUAACAUGUGCUCAAAUUUGAUAAUCUCGACUUGAAAGUUCUCCAUGGCUUUGAGAACUUCCAGAUUAUGUUCAUUAGUAAAGCACUCAUAGUUUCUCCUCCAGAAAUCAGGAAUAGAAUCUUGAAUAAGUGAGAUCUGAAAAUACCAACCAAAAAUUAAGAGAACGCCCAGAAGCUUUGCAUACCUUUUCAUUAAGUAGAGAAGCUAGCUUAUACUGUAGUUACAAGAGAUGCAACGCAUGGGUAAUUUACCAAAAAAAAAACGCAGAAUACCAAAUGUAAGAAGUAAACGGAAUGCAAUUUUUGGUCAAAGUAUUACAAAUAUGGAGAUGCAGACAAUAACACAACAAAGUGCAGCAGAACCUUGUAGUGGGACAAUGAGUGAAAAGCAGUUCCUCUUGCUUUAAUCCAAAGACGAUCAGCUUCGGCGUUAUUUUUCUUGUAUGUACCAAUGCUCCACAAUGUUUGUAUCAAGUUCAUUGAUGUUUCAGAAUAUGCUUCAGCAUCCAUCGCUCCCCAUCUCAACAGAAUGCAUAAGCUGAAGGAAAGGGAGAUAAGAGUCAGACCAAACUGAACUGGUGUGCACAUAAGCACAUUUGUAUUAAAUGCAUCAUUCUAGUGGCCUUACCCAUUUGAAACCAUGGGAUCAAUUGAAUAAUCUGGCAGCUCCUUUGAUAUAACUUUCCAGGCAGUAUAAAAAUCUGCAUGCAUAUGAGCUGCUUGCCUCAGAAGUGAAGUUCAGAAGACAUGAGUUCUUAAGAUUUAACCAUACUCUUUGCUAGCUUUCAGAUGACAUGACUUCAUGUAACAUGAUAUUUCGAGGAGGACGACAAUCAACUUACCCACGAUGUCCGCCUCACAGAGAUAGGAGAGGCUCUCCAGGCCAAGAGCUUGAACUACAGAAUCAUGGCUCUCAAUACAAGACUACAAGGGAAGUGUUAGAACGUGGACUAAGUCAAGAAAGAAUGCAUGAUGAGCCAAGAAAGAUGACGAAAAUACACACCGAGACAGAUAAUAUGAGAUCGACACCUCUAUCUGGGUUCUGCUUGCAAACAUCACGCACUGAUGCAGCAAUACUUGUAAAAACUUCUCUAUCAGUAGUGAAACUGGAAAAUGUUUCAGGAUCCAGAACUCCCUAAUUAAGAAAGCGGAAAUUAGUGCUUAUCUUGUAAUUGUAGCAGUGAACUAGUGAUACAAGAAAAUUACAGAUUGACGAACUUUAAUUAAUCAUAUGGUAUGCUUAUCUUCAAGAACAUUACAUGAAAUGUCUGCUUAGAAUUCAAGAAUGGAGAAGAGCUUCUAUUAUGUUUGAGCACAGAGGGAGUACAUAGCAUGGUUUUAGCUAACUACUUGACUUUUUCAUAACUUAAACUCUAGGGAAAGGUGACGUGAUGAUCCACUCAUCAGUCUCGAUUGCAUUGUGUUUGGAAUUCAGGCGACAUAAAGGCAUAAAGUUAUCACUCUAGCCAUUCAGAACUGCUUCAGAAACAUAUGGUAUGCAUAAGUUUCAAUAUUUCAUAACAUAAACACUCAUAAGCAAUGUAUUGAAGCUUUUGAUAGUGGCAAAACAAGAUUCUAAUAUUCAACUUAUUGUGUGCCCUUACUUGUAAGUUUGGAAAUGCCCAAUCUGUGAUAAUCCAUAUCUUGCAAAGCAAUCGAACAGCAAUAGCAUAUAGAGUCCUGUGUGUUGCCAUGCAAAAGUAACACGAUCAUAUAUUAAAAUGAAUAUCAUGCAACAGCAAAUAAAUAAUACUGCGUCAGCACAUACAGUUAUGAUAGUAAUGCCUAAUUCAGCUUCAGCUUAUUGCUCACAUAAAUCCUACUCCCUCCGUCCCAUAAUAUAAGAGUCGUUUUUUACACUACACUAGUGUACAAAAACGCUCUUAUAUUAUGGGAUGGAGGGAGCAUAUCCUAUAUACCUAAAUAGUUCAUCCCCACUACCUCUAUUAUCUUAACAUGCACACAUGCCACCUCAUCAAAGUCCAUCAAGACAAAAGUUUCUUGUAUUCAAAAGUAUUGAUGUUUAUUGAAGGCAACCAAUAUUCGUAUUUUUCCUCUUCAAAAUAUCAUUUUCGAGUUAAAAAUGAAGUUGUGAAUAAGAUACUUAUUUUCCUGAUAUAUAUUGGACAGGCUCUCAAAAAACAUAUACUAUUAUAUCUUGGCAAGUUGUUGACGACUUGUUACUGCAUGCAGAAUAGUCACAAGCUCUGUAUUUAAAAAUUGCACGUCAUUUUCUGGUUAUGUGCUAAAAACAAUGAUGACAUGUUCACACUGUCAGCUGCUUCUUAAUUUUUCUGAAACUGCCCAAUCCGUGUUGGAAAUGAGUUGGUCCUGCUGUAUGCAUGAUGACAUAUGUUGCUCUGUUUCUUAUUAUAUGAAGAGGAUUUGUGGACAAUUUUUCAAAAAUCAGAAAAAGGUGAAAACAAAGUAUAUGCGCUCCACGCCAGAACAGGACAAACCAGCUAAAACAAGCAAAUACAAAAAAUAACAGGAAACUUGAGUUGAGCGCACUGGUGUCGAAAUUGGAUGAAGAAUCGAAACACUUACGAUUUUGCAUCUUUUUUAAGCAUUGGUGAUAUCAAUUGCAGAGCAAGUGGAAGCACAAAACCAUGUGUAGCAAGUGAUGGCAACGACUCAAGCAAACUGAGCUGCGAAUGAUACAGCAAUAAAUGUCAAGUACAUUCCUCUGCUUGCAGUUAUUCUAUUUAUUAGAUACUGAUAUGAAUCGGGAUACACGUUGUGGUAACUAGCGCGCACAAGAUGGCCAGACAGCAUGGCAGAAAGGUGGGGGAGUGGGGCAGCAGAAAGAGGAGACCAUAGAACUUCCCGCAAAGAAAAGGAGACCAUAGAAUAGGUUAACGAACUUUAGAUGGACUCUUUCUUGAGUAAUUUAUAACAGAUACAUGGCUGUCUCUUUCAAGGGGAUGGCUAGAGUUAGCCACUAAGAUAGUCUAUACCUCUACGGGAAUUAAUCAUAAUAAGUUAUACGAGCAUAUCCAACUGACAGCAAAAAUAAUUAUUCGAUACUGCAUUUUUGAACUAACGAUACAGAAGUCAGGCUGCGGAACAGGACUACGAGAUUGCUGCAGCAACCUAUUAUGAAGGAUGGUCUCUAAGAUCAAGGACGAAGCCGAACAAUGGGCACGUGCUGGUGCCCGCGGCCUCAGAGUCAUCUUGCCAACCACCUGGGAUGUACGUUAAAUUUAUUUUCAUGUCCCUUCCUGAACUCGCUCUCCUAGGAGGGUUGUAACCAAACUCUAUCUUUUCAAUGCAAUGAAACGCAAAAUCUCUUGCGUUUUCUUGAAAAAAAAAACAUUAAGGAUGGUAUUUCUCACUCCUGAUGUCCAGAUUCUAUGGUGUGCACAGCUGUUGCUUCCCUAUUUUCAACAUUUAAUUAGAUAGUGAAGAUCGGUGUCCGUCUAGUCUAAGUAGUGUGAUAAGGAUUUUACAUAUUUUCAAUUUAUUUAUUUACAAAUUCAUGUAUUCAUAAACCACUAGCGCACAAAUAAAGGACAAAGAUGAAAUUACAGCACUGACCAAGCUAUUUGCUGAGAGGCUAUCAUUGCUGUACAUAAUCUUGCAAUGGAAGAGGAUAACUAGCAACAGCGGCAUUCCCAGUUUCGAAUCUGAUGCACCAAGAUUACCCAAGGAACGAGCAGCAGAAGUACCAAGUUUUGGGUGCAUCACCAAAACAGAUACUACAGAGCUUACAAGCGAUGAUAUUGGUACUGCAAGUAAUUAGACAGAGUGAGUUCCAUACCUGUUUUAAGGAUUACACAAAGUGAAACUACAAGGCAAUAUGUAAAAGUACAAGUACAUUCUUCAACCUGAUGACAGUGUUUUUGAAGAUGAGCCAUCCAGUGUAAGCUUUUCUCUAGCAAGGACUGACAGAUACUCGUUUAUUUGGUAUGUCCAACAAUUAGCUUCUGAAUAGUUUGCAGCCGAUUCCGGCAAUUCCUUGCAAAUUGCAUACUUCGUAAAAAAGAAACCUGAAGAUGACUGCAACUGGAAAGUAGAAUUAAUACAAACGUAUAUAUGAGCUACAAACGCAUAAUGAACCAGCUAUGAAAUCAAAGCGGCAUUUCUUGGGAGAGAAGUUGAGUGCAUCAGGAGCAAACAAUGGGUAGACCUAUACCCACAUGAAAACAUCAUUUUCUCUCUUCCAGAUUUGGAAACAGGGCCAAUAUCUGCGUGAAUAUUUACUCAGAAUAACACUAUAUAUAGGUAUUACUUAACAUACGUUAUUAACAGAAAUAGGUUGCGUGCAAAUAUGAGUUUACCAGUUAUCCCGCAUUUUGUACAAAAUUGCAAAAGCAUCAAUCCAGUGAAACAGGCAUGAUAAGCAAACUGCUGUGCUAUCCAAGGUUGGUUACUCGCCCUGAGCUCUAGGGAUACCAUUCAGAUUGUGACACCCUCAGGACAAAGCAGAACUCUCUUUAUGGACUGGGUCUAUGUCUAUGUAUUUGGUAAAGUAAUGACUAGUAAUUACGUUGGGUGAUGCCGGUGCCAGAUAUGGUUGUAAAUCUAAAAAUGUUAUAGAACAAUAUACUCAGGUUUUAAAACUAUUGCAGAAUAAACACAUCCAUAUAUGCAUAAAAACAAAGCUCUAACAUGCCACAUCAGCAGUGCAAUUGUUGAAGACGCGAAGUGUAGAAUUCCUAUCUUCUGGUGACUGUUGUCAAUACAAAUAUUUCAACGCAUACAUUGUGUGCAAAAGCAACAAAAAGUUCUGUGAUCAUCUCUAUCUCUCUACUAGGUGCUUUACACAAAAAAGGGAAAACGAGCAGAGUUGCAGCAUAGCAAAAAAAUAAGGGGUAAAACAUCACCUCGGACCAUAGAUGAUGUACAAGUUUAGGAAGGAUAAAGGUAGGUUUGCUUAUGUGGUGGACCAUUGAAAUGUCUUGUUGCUCUGAUGAACAAGAAGCAGGUAACUCCAAAACAAGCAAGCUAAAUCUUGACAGGAUAUGGGAUGCCACUGCUUUAACAGAUCUCGAUGGAGAAAUAACGAGGUUGAUAACUGGCAGAACACAGAGAAGCUCCUCACUGAAGUGAUGUACCACUUCAUUUGUUUUGAGCGCUGCAAGCAAAGAACAUCAAAUAUUAUGAGGAGCCAAGUUUUUAGUGUCUGUCAUAACUCAUAACAUGAAAGAAAAGCAAAUUAAAAAUUUAAGUUGUAGGUUGCAAAUGAGAGGGGGGAAGGGGAUUCUAAAAAAUUAGGGAUGUACCAUUUUCAUGUCUCCAUUCAAUCAAAAAGGCCAGAAGUUUCAAUCCAGCCAGUUGCUCAGAUUCAAACUCUAGCGCACUGAGAAUGCAGGAAAGAGAACUGAGAACACCAGAAAUUUCAGGAAGAUAGCAUAACCCAAGGUCCUUUUGCACAGCAAACAAAUAUUUUGAUAAUCCAAGAACUGCACAAGACAUUCCCAGAAGUUGGUGAUGAAGUGAACAUUGCGACAAAAGUAUUUCUAGCAACUCCACACUACUUGCUUGGGCAUCAUAGGCUGGCUGUUAAAAGAAGCAAGUUAUAGCACAAGUAUGAUGCAUUGCUGAUACAUAGGAAUUAUAUAAGCAUUUGAACUGAAGAAACUAAAGAAAGAAAAUUGACCCUAGAAGGCUAUAACUAACUGGUUAGUUGCCUAACUGGCUCCCUACCCCAGUUCCAUCAAUGGAUGGUGAAACAUAGAGGAGGCUCAUGUGUAAAUGCAGCACCAUACUAAUCAGUAUAUUAGGAAGUUAACCUACAGUACAAACGAACUAUGCCCAGGUGUAUUCCCUUAGCGAUUGUAUAAAUAUAUAAAAUUAACUCACCAUACAUUUCCAUAACUCCUAGGUUAUACUCCCUCCGUUCCUAAAUAUAAGUCUUUUUAGAGAUUUCAAUACGGACUACACACGGAUGUAUAUAGACAUACUUUAGAGUGGAGAUUCACCCGUACUGCUCCAUAUGUAGUUCAUAUUGAAAUCUCUAUAAGGACAUAUAUUUAGGAACGGAGGGAGUAGUUGACAAAAGAUUUAUAAACGGCAGGAGCAAACUGUUUGGUUCUGUGUUUUAACUCCACAAGCGUAGCCUAGAAUAUGAAUUUCCUGAGUUUCUAAAUUCAUAACCAACAUGACUGCAUUUUACAAUAUCAGUAAGACAAGGAUACAAUUAUUUACACAAAAUUAGCAGAUAGAACAUAGAAGAGCAGUACCCUUUGAGCAUGAGCUAACUUCCUCAGUAAUAGCACAUAUGCAUCGACCAAGCACUCCACAGAACUAAGCCAGAGCCGCCCUUCCUGAAGAAAAAGAAAUGCAGGCAACGUUAUGUGCAGAGUAAGAUAAUUUCCCCCUUUGAGGCUUUAACAACUACAAAAUACACUGCCAAAUACAUUCCCAGUUAUGCACAAUCAGCUGCAUGAACUUCAUGUGUUUUCCCUGCAUUGUGCACUAUCAACUGAACCCGACUAUAAACAAUAACAUUAGCAUCCAUAGGAACAGGAACCGUAACACCCGCAAUCGCUCUUGCCACAACAAGCAUUGCUCGAACACAAACGAAAUGCAAAACGACUGUGAUGUUGUUUAUGUGCCCUAGAUUCCUCGCAGUUUUGCAAACAACUGCAUUCCCCAGAAGAAGAAAAAAGAAUACCACCAUCGAUGAGGGAAUAGACCAAAACACAUACCUCCCCAUCCCCGCGGCCGAAAUGCAGCAAGCUCUCGCCGAGCAAUUUCAGCAAUGGGACCGCCGCAUCCGAUUUUGCCGCUGCAGUAGCCGCUGCGGCAAGCGCGCCGAUCAAAUCCCUCGCGAACGCGGUGUCCCCCUUCCUCACCACGGCAAACAUCACGAAAGGCCUCAGGAACCCCACCGCGCCGUCGACCCCCUCGGCCACCAUCCUGGCCGCCUGCCGCGACAGCUCCGCUCGCGCGCCGUCAGCGCCCGACGCGAGGGCCUGGACGAAGGGGUGGUUGUGGGGCGGGAAGCGUAAGCCAGCGGGGCCGGAGCGGAGGACGCAGGAAACGAGCGCGGCUACGGCCUUGACGAGGCAUGAGACCAGGCGGGGAGACGGGGAGGCGGAGAGGGGCGCGAUGAGGAACGGGAGGGCCUCGUCGGGGCCGAGGAGGUCGGCGCGGGAGGCCGCGAGGCGGGCGAGGGACGCGGAGGCGUAGGCGGCGACAGCGGCGUGCGGGGAAGCGAGGAGGGAGGAGAUGCCGUCGUGGGCGGCGGAGGGGAGAGGAGGGGGCAGCGUGAGGAGGUGGCGGAAGAAGGCCGCGACGGCGUGGCGCUGGAGUGUGGGGUCCGGGACGCGGGUGCGGUCGACGAGGCGGGAGAAGGCCGCGGCGCCGGACGAGGCGGAGGCCAUGGCGAUGCGGUGGCCGGAGACGGAGAUGGCUGUGGACUACUUGACUGUUGGGAGACUGGAGUAAAAGCUACCCGUACCAGGCCGAUCAAGUCGUCCAGAUGAGAUGGGCCAACUGUUGCGGCCUAACUCGACAAUCGUGGGCCUAAUCUUCUACGUUUCCCAUCAUGGCCAGUGUGGAUAAUUGGCCUUGCCUCAUAAACAAAUCGAAUAGUUGGUCUUUCUUACCCCUCAAAUCAAAAAAAAUAAAAAAAAAAAAUUGGCCUUUCUCCUUGUGUUUUGACGCUGUCGACGUGUGAGUCUCAAAUGAAAAACAAACAAAGUCUGUUUCGAGUAGAAUGUGGUCUGUAUCUCGCUCUCUCCAGCAUAAUCAUCAAUUAUGGUUCAAAUAUCCACAACAUACUAUGCCAAGCAUAGGAGCUCUAGAAACGUACCAAUGGGGAUUCCACACUCCCUCAGAACACUUUACUCCUUUGGUGGUCCACCAGCCACUCAAUCAUUGAUUUUUAUUUACAUUUAUGUUAUUUACUUCAAAGUAUGCUCCACUAUUCACUUAUAUUUAUUUUCACCCUCAUUUUGCUUUAAGUCUAUAAUUAUUUACAGGCAUAGAAAUAUAUAAUUCACUGCGAGAGGCAAAAUUUCAAUUCUUGUGUUGUCUUUGAGAUCGAUACUCUUCCUUAAAAAGCUACAACCAANNNNNNNNNNNNNNNNNNNNNNNNNNNNNNNNNNNNNNNNNNNNNNNNNNNNNNNNNNNNNNNNNNNNNNNNNNNNNNNNNNNNNNNNNNNNNNNNNNNNAAAAGUAUGGUCUAAAACGUAUAAUCAUUUGAAUUUACAUAAAAAAUGACUUAGUUUAACAAAAACGGUAAAAUAACUUAGGGUAAGAAUUAGUUUAACAAAAACGGUAAAAUAACUCCCUCUCCGUGACGCCGUCGUCUGCCGCCCCGUCUUGCGCUCUACCGCGACACCCUCUCCCAUCCCUUCCUCGCCCCCUCCUUUUGCCACCGCCCUUUCGCCACCGCCACCGCCACCGCCCCCCUUCUUCACUUAAUUAAUUUGUUUUUACUACAUGUUUUCAGGACUGACAUAAUGGCGGACGAUAGAGCUGACCCGAUUAUGGACAACUAUGAUCCGGACGGUGAAGCACAUAUGUUCGGCAUCAUAAACGGUGAUAUUCUAUAUGUGCCGACCGGAGAAGAAGAAGAUGAUAUCUCUUCUUAUCUGAACCUUGACGGUGAAGAUGAAGGGCGCCGUCAGCAAGAUGAUGCCGAACAAACGUCGAUAAACGACGAUCUUCAAAUGGAAGUAGCAACCACCUCCGGCGCCGAGGUAUAUAUAUACAUUGAGCCUCUGGUGAUACAAACUAACUGAUUUGAAUAAAUAUGUGUGUACUAACGUGCGCGACUCUCUUUCUUAUUUUAGCCCUCGGCCGGAUCGUCGAAACAAUCGAGUACGUCGUCAAAGCGUGGCGCAACCAAGACGAUGAAACAAGGAGAAACAUGCACCAUCGAGGUUGUCGACAGUGCAACCGGCAGGCCGCUGGAGCCCCGCAAGAACGCCACCAAGUUUGUCAGCCAAUGCGGAGCCGUUGUUAGAGACAACGUCUCGAUCACCGUCCAGGAGUGGAAUGAGCCAAAGAAGGCACGAAUUGCUGGUUUCACUUUUGUCGAUAAGAGAACAAAAAAAGAUUGCUUCAAGAAGCUUAUGGAACAUUUCGUUCUACCUCCGGAAUACAACAAAUUCGAUGAGGAGGGUAACAAGAUUGAGGAAAACAAGGAGAGGAGGAGACUAGUCAAACAGUUCGCUCUUCAUAAGAUGGCCGACGCAUUCCGGAAAUUCAAGCAAAAUCUAGCCCAUGACUUUGUCAAGCAGAACAAGACUCCGGAUUUCAAAGGACAAUAUGAGAAACUGAAACAUGAUUGGCCAGAAUUUGUGAAGCAAAAGAAAUCGGAGCAGUUCAUUCAAAUAUCGAAAAGAAAUAAGGAAAAUGCGGCUAAGAAGGAGUACAAUCAUAUUAUGGGGCCAGGAGGGUAUCGCAUUUGGGUGCCUAGGUUGGAGAAGAUGGAGAACGAGCUGAGGGCGCGAGGAAUCCGUCCAGGUACGGAGGGAUGGGACCAAAGGGCCAAAAGCUGGUGGUACGGGCAUGGGGGAACGCUGAACCCGAAGACAGGGGAGUGUGUUUACCGGGGCAAAUUAAUUAAACCCACCCAAGCCCUUAUUGACGCAAUGAGGGAUGCUCAAGAGGGGAAGAUCAAGUUCAACAGAGAGAACGACGCGCUGACAAAAGCCCUCGGGAAUCCUGAACACGGAGGACGUGUACGAGGCAUGGGGAACAUUCCGUGGAAAAUAGGGUUCCCCCAGAACGAUGACCCGUACGGUUACAGAAGCCGUAAGAGAAAGAUGGAUCGGGAAGCAGAUGUUGUGGCGCGGUUGGCAUCGGAAAUGGAUGUGAUGAAGAAAACCGUGAGUGUACUAUUAGCCGAAAGAGAUGUAGCUCGGGCGCAGCAUGAAGAUCAUCCAGCGGAUCUCGGAAGCCAGCAGCGGAGAAGCAGCGUGGCUUCCACGGAGGCCCCACCAGCUGGUGCAGAUGCACCGACGAUCGAAAUUACUGCAUCGGAGCCUCUGGUGGUCGAAAUUACUGCACCGGAGCCUCCUCGCUACCCCGUGGACGAUAUAAAGGAGAUGAAAGAAUGUCAUCUGUAUUAUCCUAUCGGGAACAUGUCCAUGAAGGUAGCCAUCGGCAGUGCUUUACCAUGUUUACCUGGAGCACUCCACCACAACAACCCCAUUCAAGAUGGCUAUGCUCGUGUCACGGUGGAGGACAUAGUCCAAGGGUUUGAGGACCUGGAGAUUGACAUUGCUACACCUGAAGGGGAGAAAAGACUUGGAGAUGUCAAGCGCCAUUUCAUUCUAUGGCAAAAGAAGUUUAUCAAGUUUCCAGGCGAGGCGCCAAGGACAACAAGUCCACCCCCCUAUGGUGGUGGUGGUGGCGGUGGCGGUGGUGGUGGUGGUGGUGGUGGUGGCGGUUCACCUACACCUCCGUCACGUCAGCCGACGCCCCCCAGUCCACAACGUCCGGCGGGUGAUCAGACGCCGCCCCCCAGUCCUCGUCCGGCGGGUGAUCAGACGCCACCCCCCAAUCCACCUCCGGCAAAGAAGCAGAAGCAGUCCUGGAUUAUUAACCCGGACCCUUAUGUACCUAAGACCACAAAGGUACCGGAGCCAUCACUGAAGCCUCUCCCCACAAGGCCUUGGGAACGUAGUGCCGAGGAAACUGCCGCGAGGGCGGCUGCUGAUCAUGAGAAAUGGAAGGCGGACUGCAAGAAGAAAAGAGAGCCCGAGCCCAAGCCAGUAUUUUCUGAUGAGCAAAAGAAGUGGGCUAAGUCAUUUUUGAGCACACCGUCCCAAGCCGCGAAGAAUCUGCCUGACGACUAUGCACGUGAACUUCGUAGGCAGGCAUUCAUGUUGAAGGAGAAGAAAGAGCGGGCGGAGAACCAGGAGAACAAAGCCUUGGAGGAGGCCGAGAAAACGGAAUUAGAAAGUAAAAAAAGCGGGAAACGAGUUGCCCAGCUCGGGGAACAAAGUAAACAAUCGAUUGCCCCGCUUAUAGUGAAAGCCGCCGGUCCGGAUGACCCCGAUAUCAUAGCAGCUGCGGCAGCACAUGGAUUGACUGUAACGAGUGCCAGAGAACAAGCGGCCAACUUAGGUAUUACUCUUCGUGAAAUGUUAGGCCUUGAUGAGGCGCCAGUGAAGGAGGUAGUAAUUACAUAUGUGAAGAAUGGGCCUCUCGUCGAGCCUGCGCAGGAAGAGGAUCUACCUCCACAAAUGAAAGGUCUGCUGAAAUGGUACAAGGGUUACAUAAAAAAUAAAAACGCCAAAGAUUAUAUUUAUGCGGAAGUUAGAUAUGAGCAUCACUUCAAACAUUACUAUGUACAAAUUCAUCUGAGUGAAUUGUUCCAGCUUUUCAAUCUGCGCGAGCUCGACAAAUCUAUCAUCAGUUGCUACGUUCUGUAAGUGAUUUAUUUAUACCCCAUCUCGUUCAUAUUGCCUGCACUAUAUAUAUGUCGUAACCAUAUUGUUGUGUCCGCUAUUAUACAUGCAGAAUGAAGAUUAAGGAAUGCAGAGUAAGGAACAUCCAUGAUGUUGGGUUCAUUGACCCACACAUCGUUAAUGGAUAUGUGUUGGAGCAUCACCCCGCCGACAUGGAGGCAGACCUGUGGCAGUUUCUUACAAAGCAGGAACUCAAAAGUGAUAUUCUAUUUCCUUACCAUUUUGGGUGAGUGUUUCUGUCUUGAGCACAUUCUCUUUUGUUUACUCCAUGCAUGGUAUGUGGCCGGCUAAUCGAUGAGUUAUGCAUGACGUACUGUGCAUGUAUCGUGUCCGCAGGUUCCACUGGAUUCUGCUAGUAAUUAAAGUUGACACCUCAGAAUGUCUCGUCCACGACUCUCUGAAUAUGGAUCCAAAGCUUUGGGGCGGCAUGAGAAGAAUGCUGCAGAAGUAAUUAUUUUCAUUCAUUUGCGCUCUAUAUCGAUCGGCCUAUUUCGUUCAUUUCCUAAUAUCAAGUAACUAAUAACUCUCUUGUUCAUUUAAUUUUCUUUGCCUCGUAGGGUUUGGAGACGGUUCGUAGAUACAAAGGUCGGUGAAUUCAAAAAAGAGCUAGAAUUCAAAAGGUCAAAGGCUAAGAAUGGUGGGGAUAUUCAGCCAGCGGGGACCAAUCUAUGUGGAUACUAUGUCUGUGAGAUGAUCCCGAGAUACACCUCUGAGCGGGUUCCGAGUGAUACCAAUGCUCAGCGGAAUAACCUCCGGGUGAUGCUUAGUCCAGAAGCUCGCUUCCGACCACUUCAAGAGGAACUAGCUGGAUGGUUCAGGAGGGAAGUCCUCCAUCGUAAAGGAGAACACCAUUACGAGGACGUAGAACCUUAUAUGCAUUAAAUUAUGUAUGGAAACUUGUUCAAAAUUGUAUAUGGUCAUCCGAUGAUAUUGAAUAUAUAUUGUAUAUUCCUCUUGAAUUCUUUUUGGUUCUAAUUUCAAAUUUGUUUGAAAUUGUACAUUCAUAUGCAUGUAUGUAGUACCGUAGAAUAUGUGAAACUCCUUCAAAAUUAAAAUAAAGCACAAAAGAAAUAAAACAAUACAAAUUAAACAGAAAACAGGUUUAGGGGGGGUUAAACCCUGUGGCGGCCUUUAGUCGCGGUUGGCCAGAAAAACCGCGACUAAAGGUCCUCCGCCCCGACGGCCGCCUGGCGCCCACGUGGACGGGCCUUUAGUUGCGGUUCUUAAGAAACCGCGACUAAAGGGGGGGGCCUUUAGUCGCGCCUAUUUGGUCGCGGUUGCGCAACCGCGACUAAUGGCAGUUGCGAACCGCGACCAAAGGCCCUUUUUCCACCAGUGUAACCAGCUAGGUACCUACUUGUGUGCUUGCAAUGUUAGGGCAACUCCAACUCACGAUCUCAUCUGGAUGUCCAUUUUAUCCAAAUUUUGUCCGUUUAUAUAACAGGGAAAUGGACACGUCCGACCACUUACGUUCGUGCUACUAUCGACGCGCCCAACCGGCCUGCCGCAUCCCAAAGUAUCAACGUGUGCAUACUUAAAUUUUGUCAAAAAAAAACCUCAAAUGAACGUUGGAAAUAAUAUAAAACCAUAAAUAAAAACAUUAAAACGUCCAGACGUCCAUAGUAGCCAAAUUUAACACAUUUCUUAAUUAAACAUAAAACAUAAGAAAGAUAAGGCUCGUCGCCGGUGAGGCCGUUGUCGUUUUCAUGAGUGUCGUCCUACUCGUCGUCUUUGCUAGUGAGGUCGACGUAUGGAGGCGGCUACCAAAGGUGGGUUGGUGGCGCCUGCACCGCCUCCUCCCGUGGCUCCUGCUCCUGCUCGGGUGACCGUGGUGGCAUCGCUGACCAUGGCCCGACACCCAGCACGUUGGCCAUCUCUGCCGUCGUGUUCGACCAGCCCCAUUGUUGGCCCACCAACUGUGGGUUCCACGUGGCAAGGGGCGGCUCGUCCAUCACCUCCUCCUUCACCACGACGGUCUGCUCCAGCUCCGGGAUGGCCACGUCGUCGGCCGCAUAGAGGGCCAAUGUUGUCUCCAGGCCCACCCACUGGUGCUCGUCGUGCGUGUUCAUGGAGUCCUCCAUGACACGCCUUAUGAGCUCAGUCUCCUCCUCGGUCAUCGGAGGUGGUGGUGGCGGGGAUGGGGACAGAAUGGCGUUGGCGUGAGGCCGCACACAUGCCUAUGCCAGCGCAUUUGUGGCGGGCUAGCAGCACGAUGCCAGCGUGGGCUAGGUGGACGACCGACAAAAAAAGACUGAUGUCGCAGGUCAUGCUUGUCGUAGAGCCACGUAUCCCACAACAGCGAGUUCAUGGCGUACCUUGGGUCAUCGAGCAAAUUUGGUGGUAGGCGCGUGCAGCGUCGGUCGAUCUCCUCAUGGCGGGCGCGGCCGCUCAUCGGGACCGGAGGGAUUGGCACCCGAUGCGCAGAUAGAUGACAGUAGUUGGGGAGGUGUGCAUCUCCCUAAGGGGUGGUGUUGUCGUCUCCUAGUACCUACUACAGAUGUUCGCGGAGACAUAGGGCCGAACGCGUUGCGAGGCCGCAGGUGGCACGAUGGCAAAUGACGGCGGAGACGGUGGGGGGGGGACUAAAGCAGUCAGAGUGGCGCCUACCAGAGGAGGAGCCGACCUCAUGGUCGUGCUUCCCCUUGCUGGUCCAAGACCGGGUCGUGGCGAUGGCCACGGGGCUAGGGUUUUGCUAGUUCCUGACAGGGCUGGAGGAGGCAGGAGGGGCCGGAAGUGGAAGUUGUGGACUGACCGGUCCACGGCUUCCAUAUUAAGAAGGACGAGGACCCGCCAGUUGGGUCGUUGAAAGUCGGGAUCCGCCGCACGCCGGCGUUUAAUUUGAACGGUGAAGGUAGUUGGAAGGCCGCCACGCAUCCUUGAUGCGGACAAGGAGCAAACGUGUGCCCGUUCUUUCACCGUCCAUGUGGAUGCAAACUGGGUGCAGAUUUGCAUCGGAAAUGGAGCGAGCCAAACGAACAUUUUUAUGAUUGUGAUUGUGAUUGCACGUUCUGCCAGCUUGUCUGUUUGUUUUACCCCAAACAAAAGUACGUGAAGAGAAUUAAUAGCAUCUCUAACACACCUCGUAAAAAGGCCGAAUCGGGAUAAUUUAAGCGAGUAUACGGACUCGACUUGUUUUGCUAGCCAGAACAGACUCCGUAUCGCGCACCCGACCCAUAAGAUUNNNNNNNNNNNNNNNNNNNNNNNNNNNNNNNNNNNNNNNNNNNNNNNNNNNNNNNNNNNNNNNNNNNNNNNNNNNNNNNNNNNNNNNNNNNNNNNNNNNNNNNNNNNNNNNNNNNNNNNNGAUAUGGGUCAAACCCUAUCCUCCGCAUCUCCCACUCUGCCCGGCGAGCCAAAAACCCCCACAACGGGCCGUCCCGACCAUGGACGGGCACGGAAAUGGAGGGGAUGACACCGAAGGUCGCCGCCGCCGCGCCUCCGACACCGCACGCAAACAGGGAUCGCGGAAGUGGCUGAAUUACGGUCGUCGGUCCCCGCCAGCUUUCGAACGCCGCGAGCUCGAGGAGUACGAGCGCGAGCUCGCGACCCGACGCCGCAGCUCCUUCGGCUCCUCUGUCGUUGGGAAUUCGUCUGCGGGCGCCUCGUCCUCGCGGACCAUCACUCUGGUCAAGAGAAGGCUGGAGGAGCUCGGGCCGCUUGCCGUCAAGCUCGAGGACAACGUCGUCCCACCGCGUGGAGGGGUCAUCGCCCCCGAGGACUACCUCUCCCCGAGGGAGGAGGAUCACCUCAUGCGCACCAUCAUGAAGCGCUCGGUGGGGGAGGCAGAGGAGGUCGCCGCGCGCAACCGCCGCGAGCUCGAGAUUGAGCAGAUCUUCCUUGAGCAAGGCGUCACAGCGUCGCACGCGGGCGCAUCCAAGGAGGCGGACAUGCGCGUCAUGAAGGCCGAGCAGACCAAGGUCUGAAUCGACCUCGACACCGACUCGAACGAGGACUGAGCUCCUCUGGCUCCUCCGCCGCGUCGUCACCUCCCUCCCCCCUUACCUAGUAGUAUGAAGAACUGAUGUAGUUUCCUGAUGAAGAAUGGUGUAGUUUGAUGAAGAACCAUGAUGUAGUUUCAUGCAUGUCUUUGCAAGUUUCAUCCGCGAACAUUUUUUUUUAAAUUCUACAGUUUCAUAUACGGGGUCAGAUCUUUAACGUACAAAUUCGCCCCACAAAAUUAAUUUGCAACGGACUGUAAACGCAUUUUAUGGGUGGCUCAUUUACCAGGUUUGCUAGAAUGCUCUAACGUGAGAGUUGGCCUGAAGAUCAAAGACGGUAGUAGUAGUACUAGUAAGCGGCGUGGGGUGGGGGUGGGGGAAAGAAAGCAUGGAUGGAUGGAUCAGCUCAUGGGUCCUCGCGGCACAGAGGCGAGGUUGCACCGCACUGUGGGGAGGCACAGUCCCUUUGAAUUCUGGUCACGAGGGGCGGAACCUGGGAAGGGUCGCGGUGCCACGGGCGUGCAUGGAACCCGUACUUUGUCGACGGAAUAGAGAAUCCUGCACUGUGUCUCUCUGGCCCCAUCGCCAUGGGUGGGGUGGGGUGGGGCUGCCCAGCUGUUUUUUAUCAGCGCUGCCUCGUUGCGUCAGCCUCCCGUCUUUCAAACCCUUGUCGAUCACAGGAUCAACGUCUGUUUUGCUAUCUGGUGUGGCGCAAACAAGCAGGGAUAAUAGUUGCCAAAUAUAGAAUCACUGGCCUGUGCCUGCAGAGUCCCACGUUGAUUGUCGAGGCACAUGCACCGUGUUUCCGCUGCGCUUUGAUUAUUGGGGCCGAUCAUCCCCGGCCGUGACAUGAUCAUCUGACGCCAGUUUCAUUAUAAUUAUACGCAUUACCCUUGGCUGCAUCUGGCCCCCUGUGAGAGUGUGGAGCCGGAGAGCUGUUCCUGUCCAUCAGUUUCUGUGUUGGCCUAUCGCAUGCAAGUCGAGAUUGAUUACGUGACCGGCAUAUCAAGGAGGAUAUAUUUAAAGACCCCUUGUCCAGUUUAAUCACUCGCAGGGAAACACAAGAAUGUUGAUUUUUGCGCUGCUUAUAAUAAACUGGCCCAACGCAUCUUCAUGCGUCCGUCCAUAUAUAUCCUUUUUCAGCAGGUUAAACUUGGACCAAAUCCAAGAAUAUAUUGAUGAUUUUUGUAAAAAAUAAUGCAUGUGCUUCGAUUGUAAGUUCCCCGCUGAAGUAGUGUAUCUGGUUUGCUAUAAAGCAUAAUCACCAUAGCACAGUGUACAAACCCUUCAUAGCCACCACAAGAGGAUAAAUUAUUGCACCUUUCAGCGAUCUGCUGGCAAUACAUUGGACUCGCAGCCAUGUGAUUGGUUGGCUUUGGGGCCGGGCGCUAUGAUAGGCUCAUGUUAUACUCGAGGGGAUAAAAUAAAGCGAUAGCGAAAGGACACGACUUUGAUAAUAAUUAUUAAGAUUGUUUGGCAGAAUCUGCUAACGGGUACAGCCCCAUGGCCAUGGAUAUCAUACUCAAGAAAAAGCGUAAGCAAAGCAAAGGUUUCCUGAGACAUCCAAUUGGUUCCUUCAUGGAAACAUCCAGGCAAAGACGUUUGUUUGCAGGCCGUGGCCGUGGCCGUGGCCGCGCGGCUGCAUGCACUUGACAGCAUAUCUGAUCACAAAUAUAUAAAGGAAGGGAGAUCCAUCCAUGGAGAUAAGAGAAUCCGCGUGAAAGCAAUGGAAGGUUUUAACGGCACUGCUAGACGAUCUGCCAAAGGCCUUUGGGUGGGUGGAAGGGGCGCACUAGCAUGUCGAUUUAUUAGCGGCCAUGGAACGAACAACGGGGGGAUAUUGAUUCCGCCGGGGGCUCCUUUAUCUCGCUCGUCCGUACAAGAGUUGUGUGCCUAGAUGGAAGCUACCAACGUGCAAAAGUGACACCUAGCUAGCUCGCUGUUGUCUUUAGAUUUGACAUUCUCUAUUCAAUCUUUUAUUUCUAUAUAGUUUUUUUAUUCACCUUCCGGGGAACAGUUACAACCUUCCAAAAUUACCAUUUCUAACUGUAUCCUGCAAGCUACUCGAGACAUAUUCUUAAAAGUCGUAGGCAGAGCAGUAGCAAAUUGUGAACGAGUGACAUCCAUCAUGGGGAAAGGCUAAAUGCAAUGGACAUACAAAAGAGAUGGUACUACUGCUAGCCUUUCUGCGGUUAGUUCCUUUUCUAUUUUUGGAAACGCUGGUAAGUUCUUAGGACAGAUUCCAUCAAAUAAAAAGUCAAUACAAUACUUUAAAAGGAAAAGAGGAUUUAAGAAUCAAAUGCGGUGCUUUUGUGCUGGGGUCUUUCAGCAAGAAUGAGAAUCAUUUUUAGUUAUUAGUUUUAUAUUUGAUCAUUUGCAUAGUGAUAGAGCAGCACCAGAUUUUCUUUGCUUUUCAAGUGUAAGAGGAGUUGAUUAGACUGUACCUGCAGCCUGAAAGAUGUAAUGUAGCCACCAAGAAGAUUGUGGGAUCAUAUCCCAGAAAGCUCAGACUAACCUACAACAACCCUUUGAGAUGCUGGUGGAAAGGGCUAACAAUGACCGGCGACCCACACUGCAUUGGAAACUGAUGGAGGUAUCUUCAACGAAGCUUAGGUGAGUACCCGCCAUCAGGUUCUGACUCGAGUCAAAGGCUCUCUGCAUGAACCAUAUCAAAUGCCAGCAUAUUUAGAGAAACAUAGUUUAGAAAUAUUACUUCCCAAAAUUAUUGUCUAAGAUUUGUCUAGAUACGGAUGUAUCUAACACAAACAUAACUAGAUACAUAUUUGGAAAAAUCUAAGAUAAGAAUGUUGGGACAGAGGGAGUACUAUAUAGGGAACAUAACCUCUCUAGGACAAGACAUAUGACAUAUGAUAAGGUUUACCUGUAAUGAGAUCCAGGUAAACAUGCACUAAACUUUUCAAUCUCAGGCUGAGGCCUCUGGUGACUACUUUUUCUCCAGCACUCUCUUCAAAUUGUUUGGCGAUAAGAAAUUGUUGCAUAGCGCAAUCAAAUUCAGAAGACAUAGCAAUUUUAACCUCCGGUUAUCUUCCACCAAAUUAUGUUUACACUAAAAACCAUCACUUAUAAUGUAUCGGGAGACUGUUAACCUAAAAUUAUAUAUACAACAAAGGCAUGGCUACAUCAUCAGUUAAAACAGCAAUAAUAUGUGUUCUAGACAAAUAUGCUAUGUCAUACAGAUCAUUAGAAGGAAAAUCAGUUGUCCUUAAAAUCAUAGUGCCUCCAGGUUUGCAAGCUUUAGCUGUUUAUCUACAGCCAAGUGAUCUUCCACCGCAAUGCAUGUAGAGCGCAGCAUGUUCGCAAGAAAAGUUGCGUUCUCAGCUUCACUUCCAUGAAUAUGAUCAUGACAAAGAAGGCCCUCUCCACGAGUCAAUUGUUCUGCCCAUGUGUAGAUGCGAGUGGUCAACAACCAUAACUUAUCAGCGACAGAGUUUCUAAGGUCAUCCCAAAUGCUGCUGGAGAGAAAGGAAGGCAGCGUGACGGGCAAAUCACUCAGUACGUUUGUUGGAUUAACAAUGAGAAGUGGCAUAUAGAUACAACAGCUACCACAUAGCAGGCCAACAAAACGCAGUGCCUGAAAUAUUAGAGCAAAGAGGUACGUAAGGCAAUGAGUGACGGUAAGUAAUUCAUGUUCAUGUUUGGGGUGAUGCACUAUCAGGACAUAUUGCAAGUAAACAUUUACCGUGGAGGGAUGAGCUGUAACACAGCUAAUGUCUAAUGCAUCCAAAAGCCACUGCUUCUUUAUACCAUUGUCAGCAGAGUAUACAGCUGCUGCAACCUCAACAAGAACGUUCCACCAGACGCCUGAAACAAUAUUUGUUUGUUACCUUCAAUGGUAGAAGGGUGGGCGGGAGAAAAGGAAUGGAAAAUAUAAAGACUGAACACUACUCAUAAGCAUGGCCCAGCAACAGACAAACAGGAAGUUUUGAAGCACAAGCCAAAGCUGAGGGAUGCAGUUGCUGUUACCAUCAGCUGUUGUACUCAGUAUGGUAGUCUUUAUGUUCCCCAGCUCAAGUGCAGAAACGCAACCAGCAAAACACAACCUUGCCCUGAUGAUAAUCUUCCUUGCUGCAUCAACAUGUUCUCCUUCACUUAAGGCGGUGGUACUGUGCACCUGAAAAGAAAGGUGAACGUUAAGUUGUGAAAUAGAAAUUACAUAGGAAGUAUUGGGGAAAUACCCAUUGGCUCUCGGGUGCAUAUCCACCAGAUAUGGGGAAAAAACAGUAAUUACAAAAAGAUCAACAAGGAUUCAAACUUUUUUUGAACAAACUUGACCCUAGUUUGUGCUCAUAUAAAGAAGUUUUGUCCAAAAGAACUCCUGUCAACUUCUGUGCAAAAAAAAAAAAAACUCCAACGGCAAAAAAAUGUGAAUAGUAACUUGCAUAUAGUGUUUUUUGUCCACAAUACCCUGACAGGUAUUCCUUGGCAAAACUUUUAUACGCGUAUACCACUUGAUAAUGUUUGUUGCCAAAAAGUUUCAGGAUUUUCGGACUUUUUUGACAACUAUCAUAGUGUCAAAAACCAUCUUAUGUUUUGAUACAGCGGGAGUAAUUUUAUUUUUUUAAUUCAGGUGCAAAUGCACCUGAGAGCCAAAUGUCCAUCCCUGGAAGUAUGGAGCUCGCUAAAACAGAUAACUAAUGUGAAACUAUUUGUGAAGGAAAACUAGAAGAGCACCUGCAGCAUAUCACCCGGCCAGCUUUUCUGAGCAACAAUGAGACACUUGAUAGCAGCAGACCACUCAUCCACGAAUUCAGGUUGACCAUCGUUACAUAGAUACAAAAGAGGUAACAAGCAUUCAAUGCAUUUCUUAACAUAAGAGAAACUGUCAGUCUCUUCAGAGACCACCUCCACCAGGCACUUGCAGAUGCCUUUCCAGAACGACAUUCUUAACAUGCUUCUCUGCUCAGAAGAGUAAUCCAAGUAUGAAGAUGAGUGGGAACAGAAGUACACAGCUAAAUCGUCGUACAGUUUCUUAGAUCUUGAAUCAGAGAAGAGCUUCAUUAGGUGUGACAAAUAUUGGAGCAAAACAGACUGCACGUUCAUUUCUAAUCUCCUGAACCUGGGUAAAUCUGACAGAUCAUCCAAAAACUGCAGAAGAGGACUGACAUGAUCGGCAUGAGCUAGAGAAAAGUAUAAGCAUUCUUCCCUUAAUAAUGUAGGAUCUCGAUGAUUGGUUGACUUAUGAGGAAUUUGUGCCUUAACUUUCAUGCACCGCCGCACUAUGACCCCCCAGUCUAUAGCUGGCACUCUAGGAGCUUUAGUAAGGCAUUUCAGAACUGUCGCAAUUGUAUUUACUGGCACCACAUCACCAGGCUGUAGAUAGUAAAAUAAUGUAAGUCAAUAAAAAAUGACCAUCAAAACAAUAGUUGCUAAGAGGAUUCACACAUGACACCAAACUGUAAACUUGCUUCACUACGAAAAUAUCCAUGCACCAUGACCCAAAUUAUCUGUCAAGAUUGAAAUUUAGUAUCCGAUAACCAAAACUACUAUCUAGGACGUAGAAGAGCAUAUGCAGUCAUCAGAAAUUUGCGUCAAAUACAAGAACAACUUAAUGUAAGAUAUGCAUGUUUAUCAAGAGGAAUGCAAAAGAAAGAAAAUGCAUGUAUGGGUAUUUGGCAUCACCAGCUUUUUGUGUUUUCAAUGCACAUCUUAGCCUAUGUAAACUGCGAGUUGAAUAAAGUGCACUCUCUUUUUCUAGAAUACUUUCUUUAAUAAGUGUACAACAUUAAAGCCUGAUCUCGAGAGCUCAAGUUAUUCUUUCAAGAAAGAUUGAGAUCAAACCUUUUCAAAGUUAAGAUCCCUCAGCCAGAGACUUAAGUUCCACACUAAGCUUUCAGCAGAAAAACUUGUUGAUUGACUGGAAUCAACGGGAUUUCUUUGAGAAGAAUCAUUAUCAUUAAGACUCUGAUUCUUUAAUAACCACCCACUUCUAAGAAAUGAUACAGCCCAUGCAGCAUAAUUCUGUAUGUGAUUAUCCUCUGCGUCCUUGGCAAGAAGAAAUAUUUCCUGAACCAUUGACGUUGAAAGAGUCUCGCCAACAGGACUUGUAAGUAGAGGACCUCGCACCAAAGAUGACUCCUGUGCCCAUAAAAAAAUUACUCUUAGUGUUACAGAAAAGUAAAUGCCUCCCAAAUGAGGUCUUCUCAUGCUUUAUCUGUGAAUUACUGGAAUCAACAGGCAUGCGGGCAAGGGGAGAGACCUUCUCAUGCUUUAUCUGUGAAUUCAUUGAUUGCCAACCAAUCCCAGUGAGGUCUCCAGCACCUGCACCAAAAGCGUUGACAGCACCGAACAUGCCUCCCAAAUGGACAAGAGGAGGAUACGGAUGGGUGUAUAUAUAUUUAAGAGUGUCGAGAAACUUCUUAAUAUCAGCAAAUUUCAUGGCAUGCACCCCGUCAUUCAAUAUGCCAGACAGCAAAGAUCCAGCACCGAUACAGAUACCCAUCAAUAAAUUCUGAAAGACAGUUCCAGAUUUCUUGAGAUUCAGGAGUUCAGUAGCUAAAGAAGUGUAGCGAUUGAACAGAGCAUCCAAAUCAUCAUUCAGUAACUCCACUCUCUGGCAAAAUGCUAUGACAGAUGGCAGAGCAAGGCAAGAGCCCAUACACAGGGAUACUGAAUUUACUUCAUCAAAUAGCACAGAGCUUGAAUCAACAUCUGGUAUCCAUGAUAUCAAUAUGUUCUUGAUUUCAAUAACGUCUUCAUAAGCUCCAAGCCUAUACAGAGCAACAACAGAGUUUCCCAGACCAAGAACAAGUCCCGCAAUAGCCCAAGGAUCAUCAUCUAAGCUGUCUAAAUUUUCUUCCAUUCCUUCCAUGGAGAAUGUUCCGCAGAUACUUAGUUUCUUGAGAGAAUGACAUGAGGAUGGACAUAGUUUAACUAAUGAAGCAGUCACAGUGUGAAGAACUUCUUUAACUGACGCACGUUCAUUGAAUUGUGUAGUUGCUUCUAAGUCUGAAUCAGAUGUACUAUCUGCUCUGGUUAGAAGACCUUGGCAAGCAUAACCUAAUCCCAGUCCACAAGCUCCUUUUACAAGAUAACUAUCAGCAUUUGAGAUAACCUGGAUGCAAAAGGGCAUAAUACAUGGUGAGAAACUUAUAACAUAUACUCCCUCUGAUCCAAAAUAAGUGUCACGUUUUAGUUCAAUUUUAGUUCAAACUUGAAUUAAAACCACGACACUUAUUUUGGAUCGAAGGGAGUACAUACUCAUUAUAUCAAACUAGCACAAUGCCCGUGCGUUGCUACGGAACUAUAUAAUACGAGGAGUUGGGUCACUGGCUUAGGAAAUUGUCAAAAUACAUUGGCGCCAUGCGGAAUUUGCUCGCGGUUAUCAAAAAUAUCACAAAGGAUCACGCGUCAGGCAUUGAAGAAUCUUAAGUGACCAUGGUCCUUUACAGACACAAUAUUUCGAAUGUUGAAACAUAUGGGAAUAUACAUUGGUAAGUUAACUGCACAAGUUGUGGAUCAGGUAGGAGGAUAAGGUCUAUCGUCAUUUUGGAAUUACAAUCUAUUCACUCUCUUGUUCUGUGAUAUAAAACUGAAAUAACUUGGCUGGGAAAGAAAGAAAAAGAAAAACAACAACAUUAUAUUUAGUUGGAGUCGCAUUCUGCAUUUGUUAUUUGUGCCUAAGUGUUAGCCUCUCAUGAAUAGUAGUGUAUUGUUUAUUUGUUUUUGAUCCGGCAUGUGAGUACAAGUACAUUUGUUUAUUUAUGUUCAUGAAAGGUUGCUACUCUCAAUGUGGGUAGGGAUGCAUUUGUUUAUUGGUGAAGGUUGUUGGUCCCACAUGUGAACUCACCACCAACUCCUACCUUUAUAAGUAGGAAAGAUAAUAAUAGUCCAAUAAAGCAUGUCAAAACGAGAUGCCAGAAUGAACAUAUACUAGGCAUUGUUUGCUGCAUGAAACAAGGCAUUAUAAGCUCCUGACAGUACAGUGAAGCUGGCUGGAAGCUAUAUUUAUAGGUACUACUAGCAACCGCCAAGUAAUCUUUCACAAAAACAUCUCUGGCAGCUAGGCAUGCGAGUGACACGUGUGUUGGUAACAUUGAAUGUUUGUCUGUGAAAGUAAUCAAGAAAAAUGGUUCUUGGUAUCUAAUUAUAUAUUACCUCUGCCCAAAUUAGUUGUCUUAGAUUUGUCAAGAUAGGGAUGUACAUGUACCUAACACUAAAACGUGUUUAAAUACAUCCGUAUCUAGACAAAUCAAAGACAACUAAUUCAAGACGGAGAGAGUACUUUUUAGAAAAGAACAAUCAACCUAGUACAAAAAAGUUGAAAUAUCAUGGAGAGCGAAAUCAUGUACCUCAAAGAGUCCAUCGAUAACCUGAAGCUUGCUUUUUUUGUCCGUGGGAUGAAAACAAUUGAAUAUUAGUCCCAAAGAGAUAGCUGCAGACCACUGUUGGUGCUCAUGCUCAUAUUGUAGCAACCAUUUCAAAAGAAAAUCAGAUGCAGAUGAGAUUACUAGAUGAGCAGUUGGAGGAACUACCUGCCAAUAGGACAAGAUGACAGCAAUUACAUCAAAAUCGAGAACCACUCAGGAACACACCAGAAAUACCGUAGAGAUACAGACUGUAUUCUUCAAUGCUAGAAGGCUAAAAGUGAGCCAAUAAUAGUAAUGCUUAGAAUAUAUGCUUAAGUCAGAUGUUGGUUUCUGACUUUCUGUGUGUUUCGGGUGUAUUUAUAGAGUUGUGUUUUCCGUGCGUUUAGCUGAGCUGUGAAUGCUAGAGAAAUUAAAAUUUGUUCACAUAUUGCUAGAGGAGCACACACACACAAAAAAAACGCAGCUAGGUGUUGCACAGGGUCCGGGUGUUGAAGUGUAUGUGGAUUGUCUAGACCUUUUCAUCAGGUCAGACUUUUGGGUGCAUUGUUCUAGUGCAUGAAACUCAACACCGGGGACGGUCUGACCACUUUUGGUCUUUUGUACGCAGCCUUCUCUAUAUGUCUGCAAGAGGCUGUUUCCAGAACUCGAACCCAUGACCUCAUGGUCACAAGGCAACAGCUUUACAGCUGUGCCAAGGCUCCCCUUCGCUAGAGGAGCACACAAGAAAAAUCCAAAUUAGAAGGGCAUGAAGGAAAUAGAGUGAAACUCUGAUUAAAUCAAUUAGAACGGGGAGUAACCAUGAAUACCAGCCAUUAAACCUGAGAAUGGUUUCAUACUUGAACCAUACUUCAACCAUACCCGUACAUUUAUCUCUUAAAACCAUACUUGAACCAUACCCAUUCAAUGUCAUUUUCAGCCCAACCAAAACUGAACCCACUAUUUUUUCCACCCAAACCAAUCUAAACCCAAUACAUAAUAGUGGGUUUAAACCCAGUACAUAACUAUGGAUUUGCUUUAAUGUACAUAUGAUUGCACAAAUUGACAUGUUAAGAAGCAAAUGAGAUAUAAAAGGCAUAAGUGCAUCUACAACAGGUUUUUUUUCGAGAAAACGCAAAAGACUUUUGCGUUUCAUUGUAUUGAAAAGAUAGGGUUUAUGUUACAAUCCUCCUAGGAGGUGGUUACAGGGCCAGGAAAAGAAAAAUCAGUGAACACCCCAAGUCUGUGGGAUCGCGGCUUUGAGGCCGAGCGCGCCUGCCCUAGCCCAAAGCGUCGCUUCCUCCUUGAUCUUCGCAAUCAAGCUCGUGGUCAAGGGUUGUUCAUUGUCAAACACGCAGGCAUUUCUGUGUUUCCAUGUCAUCCAAGGUACGAGCAGCGUCAUUGAUGCGAGCCCUUUGCGCAUAAGCGUGGGCGCGGCUCGUCUCGCGGUGGACCACCAAGCAUUGAGCGAUUCCUCGCCAUCCGGUGGGCGACAGGGAAUCCUUAGCCAGGCCAGGGUUUCAUGCCAUACUUGUCGGGAGAAUGGGCAGGCAAGGAGGAGGUGGUGCAUAGUUUCCGGUUCUUGGUCGCAGAGGAGGCAUCGUGGGUGGUGCUGCAGCCCUCUCCUGGCUAGCCUGUCUGCCGUCCAGCAACGAUCGAGCCGGGCGAGCCAGUGGAAGAAGCGGACCCGCGGCCGCGCCCAGCACUUCCAUGUGAGCUUCCAGGCAUCGCAUGGGAUGGAGCCGUGGAAAGUAGCCUUGUAGGCCGAUUGCGCGGUGUAAGUGCCGCUAGUGGUCCACUUCCAGAUCAGGCGAUCAGGCUCAGCAGAGAGCGCCGUGGGUUCGAUCUUGUGCCAUAUCUGAAGGUAUUGCCCAACCUCUUGGAUACCAAGCACACCAUGGAUAUCACGUGCCCACUUAUGAGCCUGCAGCCCAUCGGCCACGGAUCGCAUCUUGCGGCGGUGCUUGGGGAUGCAUGCAUAUAGCUGGGGUGCGAUUUCUCGGAUGGCAUGCCCCUCGAGCCAUCUGUCCUCCCAGAAAAGGGCCUGCUGGCCGUUGCCGAGCUGCAUGGUGGUGGAGGCGAAGAAGAGGUCGCGCUCUUCCGUCGAGAACUGCAGGUCGAGGCCGCUCCAUGCCCUGGUGCUGUCCGUGCGACUGAACCAGAGCCAGCGCAGGCGCAGCGCCAGGCCGGAGCGCUCCAGGUCCCGAACGCCGAGGCCACCCAAGGAGAUUGGCCGCGCAACGCGUUGCCAAUUGACGUGGCAGUUACCUCCCUGGGCAUUGGCGCGCCCCGCCCACAGGAAUCCUCGCUGGAUCUUUACCGGCGCUUGGAUUGUCUUCUUCGGUGGAGCUAGCACGAGGAGCUGGUGGAUGGGGAUCGCGCUCAGGACGGCUUUGACGAAUGCGAGGCGACCGGCCUUGUUCAUGAGGUGUGCCUUCCAGCACGGGAGCAUGCCGGCGGUUCUGUCGACGACGGGCUGUAGCUGGGCAGCAGUUGGGCGCCGCAGCGUCAGCGGGAUGCCCAAGUAGGUGAUGGGAAGAUCCACGAUGGGGCACCCCAGUAGGUCGACGACAGGCGUGGCUGUGGCGGGGUCGCAACGGAUCAACGUGGCCGUGCUCUUCAGGAAGUUGACCUGGAGUCCCGAGGCGCGGCCGAAGAGUUGCAGGAUGCUCUUUAUCGCCUCGAUGUCGCUGUGCGAGGGGUGGUAGAAGAGGAUCACAUCGUCGGCGUAGAGCGAGACGACGGGAAGCGAGCGGCGGGGGUGAAGUUGCCGUAGGAUGCCGAGCUCGGUGGCGCGGUGCAGCAGGCGUCCCAGGGUGUCGAUCACGAGGACGAAGAGUUGGGGCGACAGGGGGUCGCCUUGCCUCAGGCCGCGACGGUGCCAGAUUGCAGGGCCGGGCGCGCCAUUCAGUAGCACCUUGGUGUUGGCUGUGGAGAGGAGGAUCGCUAACCAGCCCAGGAAGCGGUUGCCGAAGCCCUAUUGGCGCAGGACCUCGAAGAGGAACGCCCGGCUGAUCGAGUCGAAGGCCCGCGCCAGGUCCAGUUUCAGGAGCACGCGCGGGGCUCCGAGCUGGUGCAGCAGGCGCGCAGAUUGCCGGACGAGGACGAAGUUGUCGUGCAAGCUGCGCCCAGGGAUGAAUGCGUUCUGGUUUGUGCUGACGAGGUCAUUGAGCUUGGGGGCGAGGUGAAGAGACGGGGCCUUAGCGAAGACCUUGGCCACGAGGUGGAUCAGGCUUAUGGGCCUGUUAUCGGCGAGGCCAGCAGCGUCUGCGCUUGGGAAGCAGUGUGAGGAGGGCCUGGUUCAUGGAGCUGAAACCGCGUCCCCUUAGCGCGUAUAGCUGCUGGAAGACGUCGAGGAAGUCCUGUCGAACUGUGGGCCAGCAGGCGUGUAGGAACUCGGCGGUGUAACCAUCUGGGCCUGGCGCCUUGCGCCCCAGCAAGCGCUUGACCGCCUGCCAUAUCUCUUCCGCGCAGAAUGGCGCAUCCAGGUCAGCCAGGUCAGCCGGCGUGAUGAGGUCUGACAGGUCGAGGGUGCACUCUCGGUGUACUGUGGAGCCAAACAAGUCGUCGAAGUGCGCAAAGGCCACUGCUGCCAUGUCGCUCGGGCUGGUGACUGUGCCAUUGGUCACGCCGAGGCUGUGAAUCCGGUUCUUCUGCUUCCGGUAUGUGCAUUGGCGGUGGAAGAAGGAUGUGUUGGCGUCGCCGUCCUUGAGGAACGCGAUGCGUGCGCGCUGGCGGGCGAUGGAGCGCUCGAGGGAGGCGAGGCCAAGGUAGGACGCUUUGAUCUGUCGGCGCAGCCAAUCCUCAUGCGGGGAAAGCAUCCUGCUCUCCUGCGCAGUAUCGAGCUUGAGGAGGAUUUCUCUGGAAACUACAAGCUUCAGGCGCACAUUGCCCACGGUUUUGGAGCUCCAGCUCGUCAGCUUUCGUGCAGUGGCUUGCAUGCGAAGCAUGAGGCGUCGAAAGGGAUCAUCGUCGUGGACAGAGAGCCAGGCCUCCGCGACAGUGUCCUGGAAGCCAUCCAGACGUGUCCAGAAGUCCUCGAAGCGGAAGCGCCGAUGGGUUGGCGCAGCCGGGGAGCAGUCGAGCAGAAGAGGGUUGUGGUCGGAGACGACCGAGGCGAGGCAGCGCAGGUGGCACUCGCCGUGGAGCUCCUCCCAGUCGACAGUGCAUAGGAUUCGGUCCAGGUGAACAAGGGUCAGCGGCGAUUGCCCGUUCGACCAUGUGUAGCGGCGUCCAUUGAGGUAAACCUCUUUGAGCGCCAGGUCAUUGAGCACGCGACGGAAGCGGCCCAUCAUCCGGCGGUUGACGUUGCCAUUGUUCUUGUCUUCGUCCCGGUAGAUGAGGUUAAAGUCGCCACAUAGCAUCCACGGGCCAGGGCACUCGGUGCGGGCGUCAUGGAGCUCCUACAGGAAGGCGAUCUUGCCAGCGUCGUCUUGCGGGCCGUAGACGGCGGUGAUCCACCAGGGACUGCGAGCUCCGGCCGUGGUGGAAACUUUAGCAGAUAGUGUAUUGGCAGUGAAGGAGGGAUCAGAGAUGACCACCUCGCGGCUUUUCCAUGCCAGCAGGAUGCCGCCCCGGGUUCCAACCGCGGGGAGGUAGACGUAGUCAUCGAAUUCCGAGCCUACGGUCUCGAGGACAAUCGACAAACAGAUCAAUUCCAUCUUCGUUUCUUGAAAGCAAGCGAUGGAGGCAGUAGUGGUUACAAGCAGAGAUCUAAUGGCGAGGCGGCGGGCGCGCAUGUUCAGACCACGCACAUUCCAUACAAUAAUCUUGGUGCCGUAAUUCAUGGGACAAAGUAUCGACGGGAGGGCAGGCCGUAGGGCACGGCUAUGCCUCGAUCGGGCUGCCCACGAUCACCGUGGUGAUCGAUGCCAUUGAGGGAUCGGAGGGGAGCUCACGAUCAACCAACGCGGCUAUGGCGGCGAGGACGGUGGUGGGGAGCGGGGUGGCGAAGAGCCCGUCGUAGGCUUGCAUCUCGGCGUCGGUGAUCCUCUGAUUGAUCCCGACGAUACCCAGUGUGCGCAAGAUAUGGACUUGUGCUCGCCGCUCGGCCGUAGGGGGGCGGCAGCCUUGCAUGGCACAGAUGAUGCAGAACGCCCGCGGCGAGGGGUGGAGAAGCUGGGCGGGCGGCCACGCUGCCUCUUCCUUGGGGUUGGCAAAGCUGCGCAGAGCUGUCGGGAUGCUGCAGCCAGGAAGUCGCCGAGCGUCAGAGCCGUGAUGGGCCCGGUGCGCGGGCGGGAGCGGCGCAUGGUGAUGGGGGGCGAUGCGAAUCGUGCAGGGGAUCCCAGAGUGGGCCUUCCGCUGGUGAGGCCGGACUGUGGGUUGUCCAGCAGAGGCGGCGUGGUAGGCCUGGUGCUUGGGCCACUCUGGGUCACGGGCUUUGCCGUGGUGGGGCUACCAGCAUGCAUGCACGUCCCAGCGGAAGCAUCCAGAAGAUCCUCAUGAGGCGGGGUGCGAUCUGCAUCCGCCUUUUCCUGCGCUUCCUCCCUCGUGGGGCUGGUUGGUGCCGCAGGUUGGUCGUGGGUGGGCCAUGCCGCUGCAGGGGCUGAUGCAGGGGAGGCAGGGAAAGCGUCAUCUUGUCGGGUUGGCAGUCCUGCGUCGGGGCCCAGCGGCAGAGCUAGGGAUCCCACCAAAAGCGGCGGAACCGGCUGGGCAGGAGGGGCUGGCGCGUCGCGACGUGGUGACUCGUCGUGCGCCACGGCCGCCUCGUGCAGCCGUUGGUGCGAAUCUGCGCUGGGGUCCUGGCCAAUGACGGAGCCUAGCGAGCAAUCCUGGCCCGCAGGUGUCAUGAGGGUGGGCUCCACCACUGCGGCUUCCGAUCCUGUCGGCCUGGGGAUCGCUGGCAGCAUCGGUUUGACCGCUUUAUCCAACGCUUUUGCAGGAGGUUGAUGUUGGCGGUUGGUACGGCGGGCCCCGCGUAGGCCAGGCCAUGGGUGGAUGAUGCGGAACGGCUGGGGCACCGCAGGGCGCGCGGCCGUACGCCGGGCAUCACUGGCGGGGGUCCAGCCAGCCACCACGGCGAUGUUGUCGGCACGCUGCGGGCGCGGGUUGCGCCGCCAGGGUAGAUCGUCCAUUUGCAUGCCGUCGGCGCGGUCGGCAGGGGUGGAGCCGGUGCGACGUCUCUUUCGGCCGCGGCGGCGCUGGCGGGCGCGCCUGGCGAGGUCGUCGUCGCGGCGCUCGUGGUCACCACCCCGGCCGCCAUCGGGGUCAUCCACCGGGGCGGCGCUGCAUGGCGCCGGUGCGUCGAGCUCGGCGCGAGCGAGCGUGACGGACACGGGGUACGAGAGGGUGGAGAUGGCCGGGGCGUCCGACUGGUGGCGCGAGGGGUGCAUCUCGACGAUCUCCAGGAUGGCGUGGCGGCGAAUGUUUGCCGGGUCCGCGGUGCGCGCCGACAGCCGAAACGUGGCGAGAUCAGCGUGGGAGCGCGUUCUCGGGUGAAGCCUCUCGAUCCAACAGCUGCUGCCGAGGAUGUGCUCCGCCGUGGAUAGGUGCUAGGCGUGGGCGGGGAUCCCGCGAAGCUCAAGCUCAACGCGGUAUGUCAACCUGCCGGAGCCAGCGUGUGCAAGCUUGCACCAUGGGCGCGGCGAGAGGGAGAAGCGGGGGCCGGAGAUGAAGUGGUCACCGGCGAGACGGUCCUUGAGCUCGCGGGAGGCGAGGACGAUGAGGAAGUCCUCCGGGAGGUGUAGGUGCACCGAGAAGUCGUCGGGGUGCAUGUCGAGGGAUGCGCACAGCAGCUCGGACACUUCUUCCGCGGAGACGACGGGCCGCGUCCCGGUGAUGGUUGCCACCAUGGCUCGGCGUAGGACGCCCGCCGUUUCCUCCAUCUCGACGGAGCGGGCGAGGAUCACCCGCACCGGAGUGGACGAGGUCUCGGGGCGGUCCGGGGCCUCCAUGGGGGUGGGCAGCGGCGGUGUGGUGGUCGCCAAGGUGCGCAGCGGCGCCGGCAGCGCGGCCCUAGUCGCAGGCGGCGCGUGUAGUGCGCGGGCCACCACGGCGCGCGGCCUCACCGACGGUGUGGUCCUUGUCACGGGUGCACGCGGGGAGUGGUCGCGGGCGCCGGAGUGGCGGCGUCCAGGGCACUCCCUUGAUUCAUGUCCCGACACGAGGCAGCGGCAACAGCGCACGUCGCCCGUGCUGUCGCGCACCCUGUGGCGCGAGUCCAGGCAGCGGAAGCAGAGACCCGCUGCCUCCUCGGCCGAUGGGCUGCGGGGGCGAGGAGGGUCCUGCGCAGCGGCACGGCGGGAGUGGCGGCGGCGGUCCUUGCGUCGAGGGAGCUCAAAGCCCUCCUGGUCGAUCUCGGGCGCAGCUCCAGCGCGCAUCUCCCGGUGCACCUCCGAGCGCGGUCCAAGGCGGGUUGUGGCCGGCACCCGACGCACACCAGCCGCCGGGAGGGCGGGUGGGUCGGCACGGGGCGGCGUGGCAGCCGGUAGACGCGUCGUCGGAGCCGGGGCGCACGGGGAGGCGGCGACGUCGCUGUAGGAGCGCGCGGGGGACGAGCCGUCGAGGGAGACCCGCCAGCGGCGCGCAUGGUCGGAGGAGCUCGCCNNNNNNNNNNNNNNNNNNNNNNNNNNNNNNNNNNNNNNNNNNNNNNNNNNNNNNNNNNNNNNNNNNNNNNNNNNNNNNNNNNNNNNNNNNNNNNNNNNNNAGGCAAGGCUCCCCCUCUCCCACCUAUAUAUACGGAGGUUUUAGGGCUGAUUUGAGACGACUUUUCCACGGCAGCCCGACCACAUACCUCCACGUUUUUUCCUCUAGAUCGCGUUUCUGCGGAGCUCGGGCGGAGCCCUGCUGAGACAAGAUCAUCACCAACCUCCGGAGCGCCGUCAUGCUGCCGGAGAACUCUUCUACCUCUCCGUCUCUCUUGCUGGAUCAAGAAGGCCGAGAUCAUCGUCGAGCUGUACGUGUGCUGAACGCGGAGGUGCCGUCCGUUCGGCACUAGAUCGUGGGACUGAUCGCGGGACUGUUCGCGGGGCGGAUCGAGGGACGUGAGGACGUUCCACUACAUCAACCGCGUUCACUAACACUUCUGCUGUACGGUCUACAAGGGUACGUAGAUCACAUAUCCCCUCUCGUAGAUGGACAUCACCAUGAUAGGUCUUCGUGCGCGUAGGAAAAUUUUUGUUUCCCAUGCGACGUUCCCCAACACUUCUUUCGCAUCGUGGUGGCGAGACCUUCCUCCGCUUCUGGGCAGAGCUCGAUUUGGGGGAGAGGAGUGGAGGAAGAGGAUGGGGAUUCGCCGCCGCCACCGCUCAGAUCGGGAGAGAAAAAGGAUAAGGUAGAGGGGGGUAGAGAUAUUAGGGUAGGCUGUGGGGACGAGGGCCAGAAAAAAUUUGGAUGGGCUUCGCGUGUUUAGUUUCAUAGGCACGCGCGCGCGGGUAUUUUGGCCGGCCCAAUUGGCUACCCACAGUCAGAUAGAUGGAUAUGUGCGGCGAGGCAGGGGAGUUCGUGGAUGGAUGGAUGGAUAUGUGGGUUGGAUAGCUGGAUGGAUGGAUAGAUACAUGCCACAUCAUCGAUCCGUGGUACAAACGUUUCCACCAAUAGGAAUCCAGCUCAUGUAAUUGUGUUUUCCUAUUUUUUUUAUAACUUCUAAUUUUUUUCUACCCUCUUGGAUUGACGAAUGAGGGAAUCGCGGCUUUUUUGACGUUUUAAUUAUGUUUGGCCCGUGACAUAUAAUGGACCCACGAGUGACAUGUCAACAUAGUUAGAACAUGUUACGACAUUUUUAUAAUCAUCGUAAAAGUUAUGACGAUCUCAUCUUAUGCGGUUACGAUGUUUUUGACUCACAUCAUCGUAAUUUAUAUGUAGAUUUGAUCCCCUCAAACGGCUUACGACAAUCUCGGACGAAAUCAUCACAGAUUUAUGACGAAUUCAUCAACGACGUCUUAAAAACAUCAUGUAUUAGCAUAUUUCUUGUAGUGUCAUCUUGCGGAAAGCUUCACCCAGGCUCGAAGAGACAGACGGAGGCUUCAAGACCCAAGGCUUACCUGCACAGCCACAAGUCAUUAUGGGGUUUGGCUUGGUUGGACAAUGCGUCGACUCUGGACAGGCGGUGCUAGCACAUGUAGAAGAACGGUAGGAAUGGAUGGGCACCGACAGGGAUUCAGAGGGACCCAUUGAAAGACCAUGUUUUGAUCAUCCGGUCUUCAAACACCCUGAAGUGCAAGGACAUACUCGGAGGCGAUCAAAUCUUGUGGGGAACGUGUGCAAAACUCUGCAGAGUACUCAAACCUAAUCGAUUAGCCGUGUCCACGACCAUGGACAACUUGAGCCAAAGGAACUGAAGUUAUCUGGAAUUCUCAACACCAUUUAUAUAUAUUUGAUGUGGGUAAUAUUGAUAACCUGGGUAUGAGAACUGGUUGGCGGAACCAUCUCAUUAACAACCAACAGCGUAGUAAUAUUUUGCUUUUAGCCCCUCUUGUUGUAGGAGAAAAUUUGCUUUACGCCAAAACUUACAACACCACCUGCCAUAUAUGCAUAUAGUAUAGAUGAUAUUUUACCCCCUCUCAUAUGUGACUUGCCGGCAUAUUUAAUAUGCUGACCUACACGGCUGCAACGUCUUAUGUUGCAGAUAUUUUUCUUCGACGAGUAAGAGUACGAUUCAGGGUUACGGUCUACACUCAACUUGCCGUUGGUUUUUAUUGGGACUCCACUCCCUUGUCUGCUUCCGCUGAGAUAUUUAAGGUAUAUAUCAGUUUUACGCUAUUUCCAUGUGAUUGCACUUUGAUAUAUACAUUGAAGUACUGUGUGUGCCAGCAUACUGAUCCAGGGAUGGCAUAGAUACAUAGAGGCUUGACUCGUUUUGAGUCGGGUCGCUACAGAAAUGGUAUCAGAGCACAUGUUGACUGUAGGACGUGACCCUAGAAACUAGAAAUUUCUUAGGAAAGGAUCUCUCUAAAAUUUUAUUUCCAAGAACAUUCUUUACCUCUCAUCUCUUCUGAUUUCAUCAAACGUUCUCUCUCACCUCAAAUAGUUAGACAAUGCCCUUUCCCUUUGACCACAUGAAGGAUCAACCGACUCCCACUUCAAAGUAAAGAGGAUUUCAUCAUGCAUUUGAAGCAUUGAAGCUGCGUCAAUUGAAGACUCUGAAGACCCGAAGAAUUCGAAGACCCUGAAGCGUUCGAAUAUUUAUAUGACCAUUAGAAGUCCAAAUCCCCGUUAUAUACCCACAUUAGAUACGAUGAUUGGUGUGUGUUUUCCGAUAGCCACAAAUAAAACUUAUUCUCAAAAAUAUUGUUUGUAUCGUGUGCAACUCCCUCUCUAUCUUACCUGUCUCAUCCCAAAAACCUAGGACCCAAUAGAUGGCGUAUGAAGAUGGACUUGUAAUCUCUGGACCAAUGACCCAGCUGGAGGCUGAUAUAUGGAUUCAGAACAUGGAGAACCACUUCGGGAGCAAUUUGAUCUCAAGGAAGUAUGAAGUGGAACACGCUCUUCAGUACUUUACCCAAGGUGCUGCUAUCUGGUGGAAAAUGCAUCAUGCCAUACAAGGAUUUAGUGGAGCAGAAACUUGGGACGAAUUCAAGAAGACUAUGUUAAGAUCCCGUCUCAUUCGGAAGUGCUAUGAUAAUCCGAAGGAGAAGACUUGUGUAUGCAAGAUCUGUGGAGAAAUAGGACACACCCAGGAAGAACACAAGGAUGGAUGCACUCAUUGUGAAGAAAAUCAGCCAGCUGAGGAGUGCCGAAAUAGUCAGGUGACUUGUUUCCUUUGUGAAGGAACCACCCACUACCCAGCUCAAUGUCACAUUUACCCCAAGGUGCAACAGGUUGUCAAGCAGCAGAAAGAUGCAAUGAAGGAAACACUCAAGAAGAAGAUUCUAGAAGAGUCGGUGAUGAACGAAAAUAUUGAAGACCCUGAUGGACAAGGUCUGACUAGAUUUUACUCCAAUGCAUGCUACUCAUGUGGAGAAGAAGGACAUUAUUCACAGGAUUGCACAAAGGGAAGCCAAGAGUAUCUGGGAAACUUCCCGACGGAAAAAGUGGAGUUUGAUCCACUUGAAAUAAAAGAACUGGCCAAAAUAAAGGAGUCCGGAAAGAAGAAAAAAGGUACCCUCGUAAGAGCCAAAUCUCUGCAGAUAUAGACCUGAGUCAUGUCAGAUGUUACAAGUGUAUGGAAUUUGGCCACCACAAAUACAUGUGCUCAGGAAGGAAGCCGGAAACCCAAGGAGCAAAAGCAAACACUAAGACGUCUCGAGACUUGUCAGAACUCAUUUGCUUUCAUUGCAAGGAAGCAGGACAUUUUGCUAACGAUUGUCCACAAUGGAAGAAAGCUAAAAAAGGAGUAGUUAAGUUUUGACCGCGGCAAUUAGUGUAAUCUGAAGAACUCUUGUUUUUCAUGAGAUCAUGGAGUGAAAUUUUUGUAACAGAAGUCCGUGAGAUUGUAAUAACUUCAUGAAUCAAUGGAAUUUAUUGUCUCAUGAUUGCCUAUGUUGAAACUAAUGCGUUGUUUUCUCUACGAACAAAGAUCUCUGAACAUUUAUGAGGAUAUGAGAAAAUAUGGUCUAUGCAGGCAUGAGUAUAAUUCGUUUUAAGUGUGGUAUUAAUCGGUAAACCCAUAGGAUCCACUGAGUACGAAUGUACCAUAACUACCAAGGAGACAUAUACAUUCCUCUGAGUACCUAUUUACUGACACCUGCAGAUGACAACUCUCUACGAGUCAUUCCUCAAGGGCCUAGAAAUGAUCAUGACCCUGACCAGUGAUCAUGAUUACCCGAAAAUCCUGAAGGACAUGAUGAAGCACAUUCAUCUUGAAGGAGAUGCAGUCUACAAAGGCUACCCAUUCAUGGAGAAUGGAGUGGAACUUUGGUAUGUGGAAGUACAUCUCCACCGUGUGAAUGGAGUUUGUCCAAAGACUAUGGGGCAAUACUUUUUCAUUUCACGUGUACCACGAGCAACCUUCUUUGAUGCUGUUCGUGAAGCUGCCAUGGAAGCCAUACGUCAGAUUGGAGAAAUACUUGAAGCAAGACUCCGUCAUACCUAGGAAUACCUGGGUGAAGUGCAUGCGGAGAUGAUGGAGAUGAAGCUAAUGGCCACCAUGAUGAAGCAGAAGAUGGAUGAUUUCAAGGAGCACCUCGGAAAGUUCCAGUGGGACUAAAAUAUCUCCAAGGGAGACGAAUGAAUAAUGUUGGCAGAAAUGCUCGACCAUACCGAACAAUGUGGAUGGCAGCAUUGUAAUAGAGUACUUUUGAAUUGGAGUUUUUGAGAAGAAAUUAAGGAUGUAAUAAAGGAUUGAAUAUGAAAUAAAAUAUGAAUUAUUGAUGAGCAAUAUCUUCUUAUGGUAUCCCAUGGAGUGGAGUAUUUACCAAAAAUAAGUCUGAGGAUUAUUAUUAUAUGAUGGUUACCCCAAGAGUAUGAUGGAAUGAAACAUUAUGGAAUUUAAAGGCAGAGUAAUUCCAAGUAUGCCUGAAACCCACAGACCCCGGGACUAACAAGGAUCAAGUACUAUCUUUUGGAGAAAGAAACUUGUAUCAGCAACAUUUCCCUAGGAGCAUACGAAAACCUGAGAGUUGUGAAGUUACGAUAGAUGUUUUGUUCAGCUUGCAGAAUCAUUGGAUUUAUCCGAACUUUGUUCGUGUACAAGAGAAAUUCUGCAACGUUUGUGAGGAUGCCCAAGUGUUAGAAUACGAGAUUCACUAAGACUUAUACAAGGUAAUGAUUUCAGUGCGACAUGGCUUGGCCACCAUGACGACUUACUAUUAUCAUUCUCUUGCUAUUCGGAAUGGUAAAUCUGAGAGACUUACCCAUAGUGAGAGACGGCGUUCUUUGAAGCUUUUAUUUAAGACUUAGAAUGGUAUAAGAAAAACCCAUGUACAUGGCAGUUGUUGUCACGCGUAGGAAAUUUUACGGUGAGGAUGAAGACAAGACCCCUCUCUCUGUAGGAUAACCACAAAUGGUAGACCACCAUGAGAAUCAUCGAUAGGUUAUUUAGAAUUGACCACGAGACUGUCAGUUAAGAAGACCCAGUAACGGAAGAAGCUUAUAUCAACAGAAGAACCCUCGAUUUUGAUGGGAACGUUAUGAGUAUAAUGUAAGAGAAUCACCAGAGGAGUUAGUAUGAAGACUGUGAGGAGUCAGAUGCCAAAACCCGAGAGGAUUUCUAAAAUUCUGAGGGACCAGUAGCUCUCAUUUUAAGUGUGGUAGCAUCCCACUUUGCCGGAGGUUGGAUUUGUUAGAAGACCCCAAAACCCUAACCUUUUCUUUCUAGCCUUUGGAAUCUUGAGGACGAGAUUCAUUUUAAGUGUGGUAGGUUUGUAACAUCACAAAUUUUGGAAUGUUAAAAAUAAUUAUUAGAUUGUUUGUUUGUUUGAUUGAGUGAUUUAAACUUGAGUGGAGUUUGAAACUUUUCGAAAACUUUUGAAUGAGAGGGAAUAAAAUGACUUUCCCCUUCUCCGGCGAAUGCAAAUUCAUCCAUUUUAAAAUCAAUGAGAGAAGAUGACAUGACUUCUUCAACUAUAAAGAAUUUGAAUGUAGUUUGCAUUUGAAUUCUUCAAGUAUUUGCUUUUGCUUUUCUAUUUUUUUCUUCCCCGAGAAAAUACCCCAAAGAUAAUUCUUGCACGCAAGAAAGAGCGGAGGAAAAUGACCCUCCCAAGCCAGGGGUGUUUUUGAAAAUCUUCGAGCCAAGAAAAACCAAGUUUAUGGAGAAAAUAAUUGCAAAAAGAAAUAAAGCCCUUAGGGAUUUUCUGAAAAAUUAUUUUUUUUAAAGUUUUUAUUUUUGCCUUGGAAAAAUGUUAAUCGUGUAGAGAUUUUUUUCUGAAAAUUUUGGUAUAUAAUACCCGAUAUUAAUUAUUUUAUUUUGUUUCCUUUUAAUUCCUUUUAGUUUCUGUUUUUUGAAAAAGAUCAAAAUCGGGAAAGGAAUUUUUAAAGUAGGAAAGCGCCCUGGGCGCGAUUUAGCUCGGCCCAGAUCCCCCCUGGCCCGGGAUCCCUCCCUCCUUUCCUUUUCGGUCAACCGACCGAGCCACCUCCCGCCCCCUCGCUGCCACCUGGGCCCCGCCCGUCCGACCGCCCCUCCCUCGGUCACCCCCUCCCCUGUGCUCCCUCUCCUUCCUUCCCCGCGCCUGAUAGCCCCGAGCUCGCCGGAGAUGCCGCCCCUUGCCCGAUCUCCUUCCCUCUAGCACCGCCCCACCCCCUAUAAAACCCGACCGCCCCGAGCUCCCCCGGCCCCCGUUCCCCUAGUCGCCGCCUCCUACCCAAGCCCCGCCGCCCUCUGCCCGAGCUCGUCGGAGCCGAGCUCCGCCCGAACCCCGGUGCCCUGCUGCUCCUUCCCCGGCCCUCGAACCCCCUCUCCGCCGCCCCCAACCGACGCGGGAGACCCGCCACCGUCUCCUCCAACCCUCGGGCGUCGCCGGAGACCACCGGAGCCCCUCCCCAUCGCCAGCUCCGCCUCGGCCUCGCCGGCGACCUCGCCGGAGCACCACCACCUCUCUGGGAGCUCCCCCUCCCGUUAAUAACCGUCCGAUCUAGAUCUUACGUGCACGAUUAGAAGUAGGAUAACCCUUCGGUUUUUAAACAAAAACCGAACGGUUUUCUUCACUUAUUAUUUAGCCGGGAAGGCUUUGUUUAGUUUGCGACCGUUCGCUAGUUAGCCUCAGCAACUCACACCCCCGAGCCAACCACAACGCGCCACGUGGACCCCCUAUUCACAAAUUAGAUUUUUCUAUUUUUAGUUUUAGUUCAAAAACAGAGGCAGAUUCAAUUUCCUUUUGCUCAUAACUUUUGAUCCACAACUCCAAUGGAGUUGAAACUUGUUCGAGUAGAUCACAAUUUUUCUGUAGUUUUCAAAAACAUAUUAGUUGUCUAGGUUUGAAAUUUUCAAAUUUGAAUUAGAUCAGAUUUAGUUUAAACCUUGUUUUGCUUAUUCUAGGAGUUUUUAAAAUAGAUUUUUAAUUAAUUCUUUUUGCUACUGAUCACUAGUGAUAUUAUUUAUCAGUGGCAAAAAUUUCAGAAUGUUUUGAGUAUUUGAGCUCAUUAUUUCUUGUGAAACACUUUCUGUUUCACUUCUUUUUAGGAUUAUGACUAUAUUUCUUUCUUUAGUUGUUUUUAAAUUAUUUUUUUCUUUUAUAUUUCAGAAAUAUUAGGUCUUGUUUCUGUUAGUUAAAAGUAGGUUUGCAACAAACUUUUAUUUUAUUUUUAUACGUUAUCAUGAAAUCAAUUCUAGUUCUCUAAUAACUUGCAAUUGGUUUCUUUAUUGUUUCAAAUCCCGUUUGGAAAUACUUUCAAAUAGUUUUGUGAAAAAAUACUUUAUUUUAUCUUAGUUAAAUUUAUAUCUUAGUUCCCUGUUAUUUAAGUAUUUUAUUUUCUGUUAGACAAAAACUACUUAGUGUUUGAUGUAGUAGAAGACUCCCUAGUCUUAUUUGAAGUUUCCUUCGGAUUCUUAUUCGCUCUCUCUUUUGUUUUGAUUGCUAGAAUGGUUGCUAGUAUGAGUGCUUACGUGAAUGAUAUGGUUGUUAUAUAGAUUUCAUCGGAGAGUGACGAGUAGUCUAUCAAGUUAUUCAUCGAGAACGAAAAUUCUUCUUCGUCAACAUCACCAGGCAAGUCAUUUUGAUCAUACUAUUCGCCUAUGUUUUCUAUGCAUGGUAGUUUCACCUUUCUUUGCCCAAUUGCAUGUUGAGUAGGUACUUGGAAAUUAUAGUUAUAGGUUGUAGUAUCAUGUGGUAGGCACACAACAACCCCGAUACUUGCCCCGGGACGACAAAUUUCAUAUUGCUAUGCUUGAGUAGACGGGGUUCUGGUUGAGUGCAUAACACGAGUGAUGCGAGGAUAAUUAAAUAACCAAGACCGGUUAAGUCAAGAUUUUCAAGACCUCGUGAAGCAAUGCAACUCUGGGUGAAGGACGGUUUGACGGGCUCCCUGGAGAAACCAGUGGACGACCCCGGGAUGCUUGGAGACGUGCCAUGUCACACUACAAGGAAUAUGCUAAUACAUGACGCUAUUUUUUUCGUCGCUACAUCGUCACGGUUUUUAGUUUACGACGAUCUCACGACGAAAAACCAAACGUCAAAAACGGAGCGUCAGAAAUGAACAGCAGCGACGUUUUGAUCAAAAAUCAUCGUAACCUUUACGACGAUUCCACGAUCGUUGUAACCUUUACGACGAUCCUAGAUCGUCGUUGGCAAUCCAACCCAGUCCUACGUGGCAGUCUUACGAUGAAAUCAAAACGUCAUGGUUGAAAUCAGCCCAACCCAUUUCAAUUGAUCACAUGGGCUCGUUUUAUUUUUUUGGGCUUUUCGUAUUAGGCUUCUUUUUGGGCCUUGGCCUAUUUACAGCCACUUUCGUUUUUUUUCAAUUUUUUUUAUCUAUUCUAAUUUGGGCCUUGACCUUUUCAUGCCCAAAUACAUUUGAUCCAGUUUCAGUUUUGGCCUUUUUUCAUUUUUUGAAUUCAGCAACUUUUUUGUUCCAAAACUUGGUUUCAUUUCUAUUUGUUGGGCCUUUUCAACCCAAUUAUUUGUCCAGUAUUAAAUCCAACACUAUUUCAUAUUUAAAUCAAGAAAGCUUCAAGUCGAAUUAAAAUCAAGCAUCAUAUAACAUCACAUAAUACAUCUCCCAGGUUUACAUAACACAAUAACUCNNNNNNNNNNNNNNNNNNNNNNNNNNNNNNNNNNNNNNNNNNNNNNNNNNNNNNNNNNNNNNNNNNNNNNNNNNNNNNNNNNNNNNNNNNNNNNNNNNNNCUAGAGCAAAGUUAUCUAGCUCAAAAGAUAUAAGUGAAGCACAUGCGAGCUAAAUUGCCUAAACUCAAAAGAUAUAAGUGAAGCUCAAUGAGUAUUCUAGAAAAUUCACGAUGAGUGCAUGUCUCUCUCAAAAAAGGUGUGCAGCAAGGAUUAUUGCGACACAACAAAAAGAAAAUACUCCUAUAAUACACGACGCUCCAAGCAAAACACAUAUCAUGUGGUGAAUAAAAAUAUAGCUCCAAGUAACGUUACCGAUGGAUUGAAGACGAAAGAGGGGAUGCCUUCCGGGGAAUCCCCAAGCUUAGGCUUUUUGGUGUCCUUGAAUUUGGCUUGGGAUGCCUUGGGCAUCCCCAAGCUUGAGCUCUUUCCACUCUUUAUCCCAUUGUCCAUGAGAACAUCACCCAAAACUUGAAAACUUCAUAACACAAAACUUAAACAGAAACUCGUGAUAUCAUUAGCACAAGAAAACAAACUACCAACUCUUUAGGUACUGUAGCAAACUUGAUUUCUAUUUAUAUUGGUGUUAGAUUACUGUAUUCUCACUUUUCUAUGGCUAGUACCCCCCGAUACUAUCCAUAGUUUCAUCAAAAUAAGCAANNNNNNNNNNNNNNNNNNNNNNNNNNNNNNNNNNNNNNNNNNNNNNNNNNNNNNNNNNNNNNNNNNNNNNNNNNNNNNNNNNNNNNNNNNNNNNNNNNNNUGAAAUUAGUUUGCUUCUGAGAUAUGAAGAAAUGAAACGUAUAACUAAGGACCUUCCAGAUUGGGCUGUCAUGAAAAUGCUUGAUUAUGAUCUAGAAGAAAUUUAUUUAUAUUGUGCGGUGAAUUGCAUGGAGAAUCCUUAUAUUGCCAAUUACCUAAAGGCAAGGAAACAAAUAGGAUAUAAAGAUAAGACUAACGAAGGGGAAGAGGUUUCCCAAUACCCUCCUAUUAUUUCUUAUGAUGAAUCAGGUAACGAGGAGGAGCCCUCUAUUCAACCAACCUCUCGAAAAGGAAGCUUGGAAGAAUUAAGUAAAUCUUCAUAUGGGGUGAAGAAGAAGAAAAUAAGAAAAAGUAAGGUAAAGAGGUAUCUCUCCCAAAUGGUAUAAAUAUGGAGGAUGACAAUAAUUGCUAUACUCUUGGUGUUAUUCAUGCUAUUAAUGAUGAGAGUGAUUAUGUCUAUGAUUUGCAAAAAGCACAAGCUUGGGUAUGCCAUGUUUGAGAAUAUAUUUGCUACAAUUAAAUUUUGUCCCAAGCUUGGGGAUGCUUCGUUAAAUGAAGAUGAUCCUUUUAGUCCCCCCACUUUGAGUGAUCAAAUUUACUAUGAAUUUUGCAUGCCUCCUAUCUAUGAUGAUUAUUGCGAGGAUACUUAUGCUAUAAAGAAGAGGGAUGAUAAAAACUUGUCAUACUCUCGAGUACCCCUUUGCUAAACCUUGCUUUUUCAAUGUGGAAACUAUUUGUAGUGCUCAAGUCUUUUACGAUACUCCCACUACUAUUCUUGAGAAUAGAUUUCCUUAUGUGGAGAGUAGUAAAAAUUUCUAUGCUUGUAGAUCAUGAAAACAAAGAUUUAGGUGCUAGUUAUAUUGUUGAAUUCAUUCAUGAUGCUACUAAAAAAUUACUAUGAGAGAGGAUCAUAUGCUUCUACUUAUUGCAAUAGUAUCAAGCUUCCUCUCCAUAUGUUGAAAUUUUUUGAAGCUAUGCUUGUUUUGCCUUCCUAUGCUAAUUGAUUCUUGCUCCAAUGAAUUGUUUGAUCACAAAAUCCCUAUGCAUAGGAAGUGGGUUAGACUUAAAUGUGCUAGCCAUUUGCUCCAUGAUGCUCUCGUUGUGUUUCAAUCCUUACCUUUUAUGUGAGCAUCAUUGAAAUCAAUGCCUAGCUAAGGGCGUUAAACGAUAGCGCUUGUUGGGAGGCAACCCAAUGAAUAAAUUUUUCUUUGCUUUUUUGCUUCCUUUUUUGUUUUCUCCACACCAUCAUAAUUCUGUUAUGAUUGUGUAUUUUGUGUUUCUUUUUGUGUUUGUACCAAGCAAAACCGUUAUGAUUAGUCUUGGUGAUGAUUGUUUGAUCAUGCUGGAAAAAAGACAGAAACUUUCUGCUCACGAAAAAGAAUUUUUCAUUUUUAUUAUGUAAGAGCUUUUUGAGUUUAUUCAUUUUUUCUGUUGAUUUCUAUGCAAUUUAUUCAAACUGUAGUAAAGUUUCAGAUUUUUUUGAAGUACCAGAGGUAUACGAAAUAUACAGAUUGCUACAGACUGGUCUGCUGUUAACAGAUUCUGUUUUUUGUUGUAUUGGUUGCUUAUUUUGAUGAAACUAUGGAUAGUAUCGGAGGGUACUAGCCAUGGAAGAUUGAAAGUACAGUAACCCAAUAUCAGCAUUAGUAGAAUUUUAAGUUUGCUACAGUACCUAAGGAAGUGGUGGUUUGCUUUCUCAUACUAAUGUUAUCACGAGUUUCUAUUUAAGUUUCGUGUUGUGAAGUUUUCAAGUUUUGGGUGAAGUUCUUAUGGACAAAGAGAUAAAGACUGGCAAGAGCUCAAGCUUGGGGAUGCCCAAGGCACCCCAAGAGAUUCAAGGAUUCCGUAAAAAGCCUAAGCUUGGGGAUGCCCCGGGAAGGCAUCCCCUCUUUCGUCUUCAAUCCAUCGGUAACGUUACUUGGGGGCUAUAUUUUUAUUCACCACAUGUUAUGUGUUUUUUGCUUGGAGCGUCUUGUAUCGUAGGAGUCUUUUAUUUUUUUGUUGUUGUUUCACAAUCAUCCUUUCUGCACACCUAUAGAGAGAGACAUGCACUCACCGUGAUUUUGUCGAGCUUCACUUAUAUCUUUUGGUAGACAAUUCAGCUCACAUGUGCUUCACUUAUAUCUUUUGAGCUAGAUACUUUUGCUCUUUGUGCUUCACUUAUAUCUUUUAGAGCACAGCGGUGCGUGUCUUGGUAGUUGAUCUAUGCUUUGAAAGUAGUCUCAAAAGGGGKUAGUUAUCCAAAAGGGAUACGAGAACUUCCACCUUCAUGUGCAUUGAAUAGUUAGAGAAGUUUGAUUCAUCUGAAUUAGUUUUGAGUUGUGGUUAUGGUAAUAUUGAAGUUAUGCUAGUAAGGUGUCAUGGAUCUAGAAAUACUUGUGUUGAAGUUAGUGAUUCCCGUAGCAUGCACGUAUGGUGAACUUCUAUGUGAUGAAGUCUGAGCAUGAUUAGUCUAUUGAUUUUCAUCCUUUGCGUGGCGGUCGGGAUCGCUCGAUGGUUUAUACCUACCAACCCUUCCCCUAGUUGUAUGCGUUGAAUGCUUUGUUUCGAUUACUAAUGAAAACUUUUGCAACAAGUAUAUAAGUUCUUCAUGACUAAUGUUGAGUCCAUGGUUUAGAUGCACUCUCACCUUCCACCAUCACUAUCUUCUUAGUGCCGUGCAACUUUCGCCGGUGCAUAAACCCACCAUUAGCCUCCCUCUAAACAGCCACCAUACCUACCUACUAUGGAUUUUUCAAAGCCAUUCCGCGAUAUAUUGCCAUGCAACUACCACCAUGACAUGUGCCACCACUUCUACAUUGCCAUUGCAUGAUCAUAAGAUAGCUAGCAUGAUGUUUGCAUUUGAUGUCUAUGCCAUGCUAGAUCAUUGUCAUGGUACACUACCGAAGGCAUUCCAUAUAGAGUCAUCAUUGGUCUAAGUUUUGAGUUGUAAGUGUGAUGAUAAUCAUUGAUGGAGCAUUGUCCCAUGUGAGGAAAUAAAAGAGGCCAACGAAGCCCAUAUACAAAAAGAGGCCAAAGAUGCCCACCAAAAAAAAGAGGCCAAAGAGCCCACCAAAAAAAGAGAAAAAGAGAGAAGGGACAAUGCUACCACCUUUCCACACUUGUGCAUAUUAAGCACCAUGAUCUUCAUGAUUGAGAGUCUCUCGUUUUGUCACCACCAUAUAGCUAGUGGGAAAUUUUCAUUAUAUAACUUGGCUUGUAUAUUCCAAUGAUAGGCUUCCUCAAAAUUGCCUUAGGUCUUCAUGAGCAAGCAAGUUGGAUGCACACCCACUAGUUUUCUUUAAGAGUUUUCACAUAACCUUAGCUCUAGUGCAUCAUUUGUAUGGAAAUCCCUACUCAUUCACAUUGAUAUCUAUUGAUGAGCAUCUCCACAGCUUAUUGAUAUGCCUAGUUAAUGUGAUCAUCUUCUCCUUUUUUGUCUUGCAACCUCCACCACACUCCACACCACUUAUAGUGCUAAAACCAUGGCUCACGUUCAUGUAUUGCGUGAGAGUCGAAAAAGUUUGAGAAAGUAAUGGUGUGAAAACAAUUACUUGCAGGGCCGUCUUCAGAAAUUCAGGGGCCCAGGGCCAGGGCCGUCUUCAGAAAUUCAGGGGCCCAGGGCGAAAAUCAAAAUUGGGCCCAAAACUACGAAAACAAUCAUCUAACAAAAGAAAUUAAGUAUAUUGUAUACCUAACCUAAUAUGCACAAUAUACCUAACCUAAUAUGGCAGGGAUAAACUAAUAUGCACAAAACUGAACCUGGGACCUGGGUGAUCGGCUGAUCGCCGAUGACGGAAGCGCGGACGGCGGACUGCGGACGCGGAAGGCAGCGACAAACGACGUUUUCCGCGAGCGGACGAACGACGUCUUGGGCACGGCAGAGAUGAGACGACUGGUGAAAGCAAUGGAGUCAGGCGGCGUGUUAGGCUGUUAGCGAUCAAUAGAAAGAGACAUGCAGGCCUGGAGACAUAGUACGUGAUCAUGCAUUCAGGCGUGUACGUGAUAUCUCAUAUGCAGCAGGCCUCGUAGGCUGCCAGCUUUUUUGUUGUUGAACACUGCUUAGGCCUUGCUGAUGGAUUAAAUAGCUAAUUAUGAUUAUAACUACAUACAUAUAUAUUACUAAUACCUAGUAAUUUGGGGGCCCUAAAUUUUUUGGGGGCCCUGUGCGGUCGCCCAUCUUGGCCACCUCCAACGACGGGCCUGAUUACUUGGCCAAUACCGGGGUUGUGCAUGAUUUAAAUUCGUUGUGCAAUGAUGAUAGAGCAUAACCAGACUAUAUGCUUUUGUAGGGAUAACUUUCUUUUUGGCCUUGUUAUUUUGAAAGUUCAUGAUUACCUUGCUAGUUUGCUUGAAUUAUUAUUGUCUCCACAUCAAUAGCAAACUAUUGUUUUGAAUCCAAAGGAUCUGAACAUUCAUGUCACGUGAGAGAAGUUACAAAGGACAACUAUGCUAGGUAGCAUGCAACAUCAAAAUUCAUUCUUUAUCACUUCCCUACUCGAGGAGGAGCAUGAGUUAAGCUUGGGGAUGCNNNNNNNNNNNNNNNNNNNNNNNNNNNNNNNNNNNNNNNNNNNNNNNNNNNNNNNNNNNNNNNNNNNNNNNNNNNNNNNNNNNNNNNNNNNNNNNNNNNNGAAGGUCUCACCGUCCCAUCGAUUUGGAUGCAUGAAGCAGUCGAGCUCCACCCCGAAGUGGAGGAAAAGGUAUGUACGCGGUCGUCGAUCUGGGCGCAUCUAGCCAUGGAUGGCUCGCCCCUAUUUGACGGCUCCUCCGCACGAAGCUAAUUAGUAUGGUGCCCAUGGUCACCGAGGCAUGGACGCUCGCUCGAUGCGGCGGGGCGGCGGCGUCCAAGCCGGACGCGGUGGCGCAGGAGGUGCCCGCGCUGCUGCAUCCUGUCGCCAAGAAACCCAUCUCGUUGAGAGGGGUGGCCGCGGCGAGUAGCGCAUGCCAGGACGCCGAUGUCGUCGUCGGGAGGUGCAACCGGCAUCACGUCGUGCCUGCUAGCCGCGCUCGCGCUCGCCGGUGCCUCCUCCUUCGGCCCACUCCUCACCUCCCUCCUCAAGAAACAGAACAACAUGACGCAGGUCCGUCCCUCCUCUCCCUCCCUCCCAAAUUCCCUUUUUAUCCGGCGGUUCCCUUGCUUCUGUUGCGCUCAGCGCGAUUCUGGUGGACGUGCAGAUGCUGCAGCACACGGUGAUCCCGGAGCGGCCCAUGUUCUACCCGGAGUACCCGCUGCAGGGUACCUUCUCUCUUCUCUGCUCCUAUCCUCUGUCUCUGCCCGUUCCUUUGAAAUUGUCACCGGUCGUUGUUCAGCUCCACAAGCAAGAAGGCAAUCAGACACGACAAACGCUAAUUGACAUUUUAUAAUAUAAGCGUUCCACUGUGCUUCUUUUGAUUCAGUCAAGUUCAGCUGGAACUCUCGCCGGAAGAAAAAAAGCUCUGCUCCUCGCACUGAAAAAGGCACAGAAACAUAAAUGUUUGCUCAAUUCAGUUGUUAAGAUGUCGACUAAAAAUUUUGCCAGAUUUCCCCUGAAAAUGACAACCUGCUAAAGUCAGUUAUUCAGAUGUCGCAAUUUCGAAGUACAACACCCCUGUUUUUGGGCCUCUUAGAUCUCUUUUCACUGGAAAUAGCAAGGAAAUUUCCUACUUCAUAUUUUUUUUUCAUGUCAAAGUUGUAUGUACAAGGUGAACAGAAAGUUAUACUGUUGUUAAUUGCUGUUGCUCCUAACUCGCCAGAGCCGGAGCAAGGGGUGGUGACGCUGGAGGAAGACAGGGACCCUGUGGAGAGAGUUGAGGAAGCACUGCAGUGCCUCGCUCAAGAUCUACUUUGAGAGCAUCCUCGACACUAGCAGCAAGAAACCUCCUCCUCAACGCGUCCUUCCCCGACGAGCCCUCUUUACCAGAGGAGGUGGAGGAGCAUGCCACCAUCCCUCUUCGCACCUGCCUCCUCUCUCCUCUAGCGCAUGGAGGGGAUAACUGAUGGCUACUUCCCCCUCCCCUCCUAGCCUUGCGGGCAUACGUGGUGAGCUACCCCUCUUUCCCCUCUCUACCCCUAGAUCAGCACUUGCAAUUAAUUGUACAUACAUAUGAAUGACUACACAUCACAUUUUGGUUCAGCUUUUACGUGCAUGGUUAAACUUUGACUAAAAACGAAGCACCCCUUUUGGAUUUCUAUUU